UUAAGAGUUUGAUUCAUAUUGUUCAAUUUGGAGUAUUGAUUUUGGCUAGCUGAUCUAUAACCAUUUCAUCUGGUUUGCUGGUAGAUUCAUAGCAGAUUGUCAAUAAGGUUCGUUUUGAGCUCACUGUCUAAUAUGUUACAUAUGUAUGUUUUGAAUUUCACUAGCUAGUUUUUAUUCUUCCAAGGGUGUGUUUCUCUACAUCCCGUUAGUAGAGCUCAUUCUUUUUCAACCUUAUGAAACUUUGGUGUAUUUUUUUUCCCUUCUUUUCAUCUAGCAGUGACACAGGAUUGAAUCCCUCUCAAAUCCUUCAAAACAAAUGACCUCUUUUUAAUAAUAAAAAAAUCGGUUCAAUUAAAGGACUUAUUACAUCAUUUUUAAAACACCAAAUAUAAAAAAUAUAGCACUGCACCGCUUAACUUACAGGUCUUAAUCUAGUAUAUUUUGAAGUGUGAAAAAACUCACAAACGUAACUGUAUUAUGACAUAUAUACAUACAUACACAUAUGCUGUUAACUUACUCUCAUUAAAAAACAUACAUGAAGGAGUAAGUUAGCAAGUCUACUCCCACUUAGUUUUUACCAAAAAACCUUUCAUACUCCCACUCAAAAACAUGAAGGGAUAAGUUAGCAAGUCUAGCUACUCUCACUUUGAGAGUAAGUUAGUAAGCCUACUCUCACGUAGUUUUAAAGGGAUAAAAUUGAUUGUUUUGCUAAAAAGAAAUGAUAGUUGGUUUGUUAACGUGCUCAAUUUUUCACCAAUAGAUCGAAUAUAGUAACCUCACAAAAAUGUUUGCUACUAUAUAUUUGGAAUGAUGAAAGUGAGUGUAAAUUAGUGAGGUGGAUGUAAAUAAUUUGACAAAAUUUAUAAAAAAGUGUGUAUAUAAUCAAAUGGGUGUAGGUUGUUAACUUACACCUUAGUGCUUUUAGGUGGAUGUACUUGCUUGUUUACACCUUAGUGUUGUUAGGUGGGUGUAAAUUAAAUUAACAACCCCAUAUAAUAUAUAUAUAUAAUCAUAGACUAUAAUUAACAAACAUAUUUUAAACUUAACUAUUAAAGCUAUUAUGAUAAGAGGUAUGGUAGAAGACUUUCCAUUUUUGAUUGUUAAAAAAAAAGGUAUGAUAGAAGAGAAAAUGUAAAGCCUGAAUUGAAGGUCAUGGAGAUAUAUCUAAAACAAAAAGAAAAGAAGAUAAUCUAAAUAAUAUGUAUUAAUGAUGUGUUAUUUAAUUAUCAUCAUUUUACAAUAUACAAAGAUAUAAUUACAAGGUUCUUGAAAUUAAAAAAAAAAAAAGUUUAUUAGGUGGAAAAGAAAUAACUCAAUGAAAGCUCAUGAAAAAUUCUAGCAGAGCACCAAAUGAAGAAUCAUACAAGCACAUAAUAUUUUUCAUCUUUCCCAUUGGCCGAACCUUAUUGGAAAGCAUUUACACAAUCCACCCACACACUUUGGUAUCUGAUCAACCUUCUUGCACAGAUCACUUGGACAAUCAUCAUCAGUAACACAUGGCCAAUACUCUUUCAUAAAGAAAGAGAAUGAAAUUUGUUUGCGUUCAAAGUUUGUUGCAACCGUAAAUUGAAAAAGACAAAUAAUCAUCAUACUACAAACAUAAUUGACAAUUGUAGACAUGUUUCCCUCCUUUUUUAUUUUUGUAAUAAAUGUAACUUUAUAUUUUUUUUUUAAGUGUAACUUUAAAAUUUCUAAUGCUCAUUCUCCGCUUAAAUGUAUAUUUUUUCUUAUGGAGUUGUGAAAUAUUAUUCUUAAUAUUAUAAUUAUUACAAAAUGGCCCGUAAGUACAUCAAUGUGUCAUGUUUGUCCAUUUAACAUAACAAAAAGAUAGGUCACAAAAAAUAAAUUAUUCUUAAUAUUUUAAUUAUUACAAAAUAUCUUUUAAGUACAUAUGAUUUGUUUGAGAAUAUAUUUUAUGAGUGACGUAGACAGCAGAGAUUUAACACAUAUAUGAACGAUCUGAAUGCAACCAUUGACCUAUUGAUCAAUGUGGGUUAAGGAAGAUAUUGAGUGUCAGGUGAACAUAAGAGUUCAGUUUGGGAAAGUGUUUUUGUAAGCCCUAUAUUUUUUUUUAUCCAAGACAUUAUGUCUAUUUGUUUCUUAUUAGAAAAACACUAUUGUUUUUAUUUUAUUUUUAUUUAACAAUAGUCAUCAACACUAAAUUCCUAACAAAGAUUCAAAAAGAAUUUCUUAAAACAAUCAAAUUUGACACCUUCGCCCUCGAGUCACAUUAAAAACAAAUUAAUAAACUUCAAAAUCUAUUUUAAUUACAACACAGCAAAACCUAAAUAUCUUCCCCGCGUAUGUGCUUCAAGUAAAAACAUCAAGACAUACAUCAUAUGUUCUUUGGUACCUAAAAUGUUGGUUGUAAGGGUUAGUCUUCAAUAUCCAUAAAAUAAAAUCAAUAAUAAAUUACAACAUCAAAUAAGAAUAUACAACCAUCAUCAUGAAAUUUUGCCCUGUUUGACAUAUAAUAAUGAAUCGCCACAUUUGACACUUAAAAAUCCAUUGAAUUGCCCCAUUUGACACUUAAAAAUCCAUUGAAUCGCCUCAUUUGGCACCUAGAACACAACUGAGGUCUUAGGGUGUAGAGUUUUAGUUCCUGGUUGUUUACGAGUGUUUUUGGUAAACAAAAGUGCCAGUUUUAAAAGACUACGUUCUUGAUCAAACUACAAAUCCUAUGACAUGUUGUGCAAUGUUCUUUUCUUCCAGAAAGUGUUUGAAUGUUCAUCAUAAUUCUUAAGUUUGAAUAUGAACAAGAAGAAGAUUAAGGUGUUAUUCGACAUGAUCAAAUAAGGUUUUAUUGAUUUGAAAAUAAAUUUGACUUUGAAAAUGAAAACAAAGAAGUUUAAAAGAAAUUAAAUUGCAUUGUAUUAACAAAGAUGGUUCAUCAAAUCAAACAUACAUUGUCUAGUUACUCUUUUCUCUCUAUAAGUUGGAUAGUUUGAGCAUGAAGAAUUCUCUAUAAUAUUUGUGACCCUUCAUUCCUAUUAAAAAUUACUAUAUAACGGUCUUAAACUAUAUGUCUUCGACAGACUUGGACUGUUUUCCACGUGUCUUGGACCUUUGAUUUGGCCUCUUCAAAAAGGUUUUGAAUUCAUUCCAGACGAAUUUAAAAGACUUGGAACUCACAUAUUGAAUCUUGUCGAAUGCAAUUGAUCCUUAACUUGCAUAUGAAGAAUUUUUCAAAUACAACUUUUCCUGUCGAAAAUAAUCAAUUGAAAAUACAUGCUAACACCGGUCCAGCUUUCAAAACUAAGAUCAAAAUCCAUUGAACAUUGCAUUAGAGCCGAAUUAAGAAUUGCAAUGUUUAAAUUUGACUUAGAAUCUAUGUGUGAGGAUAUAUAUUUAAAGUUAUAUUGGAAUGUCAUUAUUACCCAGGUUCCAAGACUCUUAAAUGUACACAUGUGUUUGAAUAUCUAUAAUUUAAAUUAACUUUUACGAGUAAGAUUCAAGUUUAUUUAAUAGAUACAUAUAAUAAAUUUUUGUUCAAAGUGUUUUAAAAUUUUUGAAUCGAUGAAAUCCAAUAUUUUUAGUGAAAUAAUAUCCAUAGUAAUUUAAUUUCAGAGGUACUCUUGAUGUAAACUUAAUCCCUAGUCAUCUUUAAACUUUAAAAUAAUCAAUCUUAUUAGUUGAAAAUUUCUACAAAUAAUUGUAUUAUAUUCUUAGAACUUAGAAGAGUCCAAGUCAAUUUUAAAUAAUAAACGUUGGUUCUUAUGGCCGUUGAGUUCUUCAAAGAAAAAGCAAACAUAAUCGAUCAUUCUAAUUGCUUCUUUAACAAAAGUGAACACAUUAACACAGCUCACAAACGUAUACAAACAUCUAACGGCCAACCCAUUCAUAUGAUAUGUCGGCAUAAUUGUUUCUCAAGCUCCAACUGUCCAUGUUAUCUGUGGGCCCCACGCGUUUCUCCAAAAAAUUCACCUCUAUAAAUUCUCAUAUCACCCAUUCAACAUACAUAACUUGCAUAACUUUACCUUAGAAUCAAUUUCACAAAUUUUCAUUCUUUUCAUUUUCAAUUUAUAACUUCCUCUAUUCCAUAAUUUUGCAAUGGCAUCAUCAGCUACAACAAUGAAAUUCUUCUCCUUCUUUUUCGUCGCCAUGUUGGCUGCCUCUAUCGCCUCGGCUCAAGACCUCAGCCCCUCGUUGUCUCCGGCACCAGGUCCUGAUGCCGGAGCAGCUGGAUAUGUUACAAAUUCAGUGACUAUGGUUGGAGUUUCAAUUGUAUUGUCAAUGCUCGCCAUCUUCAAACACUAAAAAAUUAUGAUUCCACUUAUUUUCUUGUGGAUUUCAUGGAAGUAGACAAGCAGUAUCGACUUGUUCUGCUUAAACUGCUGUCUUGUGGAUAGUGAUGAUUACUAGGAGUUUAUCUAUGUAUUUUUGAAAGCGUGAGAUAUUUUACAUUAUUUGUUUUUACAUUUCAUUAUUUAUUGUAGGUGUUAAAGAAAAAUAAAAAGGACUUUAGGAUCCUUGAGUUAAUAUUUUUGUGUGUAAUAUAUAAAGGAUGAAAUUUUUGCAUUUUUCUAGUUAAUAAUUUUAAAAUCUUUUUAUUUUAUUUGUUCUUUUAUCUUUCAUGAUCAUUUAUGUUUCGACACGAUUCACACGAAUAUGAAAAAUAUUAAACAAGUUGUUUAUUCAAGAAAUACUUAAUGUAUAUUUUUGUCUUUUGUCUUUUGUCUUUUAUGUUCAAUUGUAUUUUAAUUUUUUAAAAGAACCCAAAUUUAUAAUAGAAAUAAAACAUUAAGCCCUUCAAGAAAAAAUAUUAAAAUUAAAGAUUCCAAAGAAAAUAAUGGAGAGAUGAAAUUCAUAUAACGAAUCAUACAUUUGAAGUAUUGAUCUCCAAUUUUAAUGUGUCUAAUAGGAGUCAAAAUAGGUCGGUAUACGGAACCUACGGUCAAACUUACGUCAAGUUAGUUAAGCUUUUUUUUUUUUGUUAAACAAGACACGUUAGGGUUAUGACUAAAAUGUAAUCCUAUGACAAAUUACAUACUUUGGCUUUAAUUUAACUUGACCUAACCUAUUCCUAUACUUAUUGUUCAACAACUUAGCAAUAAAAUUGAAGAUCAAUUUCAUGUUUCUUUAAUUCUGCUCUAAUUUUCCCAUGUAAGUUAAAAAAAAAAUUCUCCAAGUUAAACCUAUUUAAUCUUUCACUUUUAAAUUUUAAUUAUCAUAGAGUCAUCUCCAUUUUUAUUUUAUUUAAUAAAUAAACUAUGUUAAAAAGUCCUAUAUCAGAUAAGAAAUGACAUGAACUAGUGUUUAUAAGUUAGGAUAAUUCUUCUCACUUUACAAGUCUGUUUUGUGAAGUUAUGUUAAAUUCAAUCACAAAUUCUAAAAAACACGGACUUAUUUUGACUAGUAAAGCAUUGCAAUAUUUCAUGUAUAUAAUUAUAGGUUAGGAUUUAGCCCCUCCAUUUUUUUCUAGUGUCAAUUUUUUUAGAAGUUUUUUGUGAGAAAUAUGAGAUAAUAAUAGCUGAAGUUGUAAUAGAAAAAAGGUAAAUCAUUUCAUAAAAAAUAAUAAAUUUUUGUUCUAAAAAAAUCAUUUCAAAAUUAUAUCCAUUAUGGACAAAAAAUAAAACAAAAAAAAUUGUGAGGAUGAAAACAUUUCAUUUUAUUUGUUAGGGACGAAAACCAAAGUUUGAUAUAUUUAUAGAGACGAAAAGUUUAUUUAACCCUUUGUUAAUCUUCUUGAUAUGUGUAAAUUAUAAGUUGAAUACAUCAAUUAAAAUGAAACCGAGUAAUAAAUAACUAGCUCGCACGGAACUCCAAAACUUAUAAAAUUAGGGACAUGUUUAACUUAAGGAAAAUGUUAACUAGUUCCUCUGUGACACUGAUUUAGAAAGCAAAUAUGGUAAAAUAAAAAUAUAAUUCACACACAUAAUCACCACAUUGGUCACUGUUGGAGGGUAGAUUUUAGAAGAAGAAGAAAAAAAUUAAAUACUCAAAUUUGAUUUAAAAUUUUCAUUGUUCGAUCUUAAUCUAAUGGUCACUAAAGUGAGGACUAAAUGAAUGCGAAAUUUUAUUGACAACACGGAAUCAUAACUCGUUUAACCUGCACCAAAUCGACCUUUUUCACUUUAAAGUUUAAACUUAAGACUUGCAUUUUUGUACGCUUAUUUUUGUUUUGUAUUUUUGAGAGCUAAUUUUUUAAUCCGAUAUAUCAAUUUUUCAAUUACUCUUUUUAUUUAUAUUUUAUUCGAAUGAAGUAUUUUUCUUUAACUAAUCACACCCUAAAGUAUCUAUGAGAGCCACAAUAUAUAUUUUUUUUCUUUUGCAUCAAACCAAGAACAAAGAUCUAAAAAGACGAAAGGUGCAUGUUGUGCAAUCAAAAACCAAAAACAACUCACGUUAAGUUGUUGCCAAUUGCUAUUACCCACAUUUUUAUCAAAUACUUCUUCCGUCCCAUAAUAACUGAGACAAUUAUUAAAAAAAAUGUCCUAAAAUAACUGAGUCGUUUCACUUUUCAAUACAAUAUUAAUUACUUUUUUUUCCCUUUAUAAUUUCAAUUAAUAUUGUUUUCAUCACUUCCAAUUCAAUAUAUUUCACUUUGCAUUUAUAAUAGUGGAGAAUGCACCAAUACUUAACAAAAGCACUUAAAACUAUUUUUCUCUCUCUUUCAUUUAUACAUUUUUUUUAAUAUGUGUGAAAUGAGCUUUUGACUCGGUUAAUCUGAGACGGAAGGAGUAUUAUUUUCCUCCAUGUGCGAUUACUGUUUUUGAAGCACCUCCACAUGCAUGUCCGUUACUUUCGACUAGAGCCAUCCCAGUUAAAUUAAGUGUAUAUAAUUAAGAUAGUGGAUAUUUGUAUUAAAGUUGUUUACAAAAUUUGAUUUUUACUUCCAUAUUUUUGUUAUUUUAUCUUUAACUUUUGUCGUUUUAAAAAAUUCAUAUUGAAUUUAUUUCAUGUUAAAAAAUUCUAAAUUUUUGUAAAUGAACCUUUCACAGUGUUAUAAACUCGUGUAAAAAAAAAUCGCACAAAAAUUUAAGAGUUUAAGUAUAAUUAAACAAAUAUUGUUUUAGCAGAGACUAAAAUUAUAAGUAUUUUUUUUUUGUAAGGACUAAAAAAUGUAUUAAAAUUAAGUAAGGACUAAACUUAAAAAUUAUCCAUUUUAUAAGGACCAAAAACAUAUUUAAUCAUAUAUAUUAUACACUAAUAAAAGUUUCUCAUAUGAACUAGCAUACUUCACUAAUAAAAAUUUCAACAAAUCACAUGAAUAUGUUAAACUCAAUUUUAUUAUAUCUUUGGCUACGUUACAUUAAAUCUUAACUUUCGUAGGCUAAAAAAAAUAAAUAAAAACAGCCUUCAUAUUGAAGACAACACAUAGCUAGGGACGGAUUCUACGAGAAAGCUUCAAAAGGAAAUUACACGUAAAAUAACAAAAAAUUAUUCAAAGAGUAAGAAGAGUCCAAGUCAAUUUUUAAAACAUAAACAUGUGUCCUUAUGGUGGUUGAAUUCAUCAAAGAAAAAGCAAUUAACAAAACAUAUCACAACCAAUCAUUCUAAUUGGUUGUUCAACAAAAUGAACAGCACACAAUCUUACAUAAACAUCUAACAAUCGACUUAUUCAUGUUCUCUCCGUUUCAUAAUAUAACAAAAAUUCAUUUUUAGGUUCAUUUAUUUAAUAAUGUAUUUGGUCCGCAAAAUUCACUUUUUAGGGUUAUUCAUUUAAUUAUGGACCACAUACAUCAUUAAAUGAAUUAAUCUAAAAAGUGAAUUUUGCUUAUAUUUUGAAACGAGGGAGUAUGAUACAACGUUUGCAUAAUUGUCUCUGAAGCUCCGGCUGUCCACGUUAUCUGUGGGCCCCACGUGUUUCUCCAAUCUUAUAAAUACUCCCAUCACUUAUUCAACAUACAUAACUUGCACAACUACUCCUUUGCUUCACAAUUUUCAUUUUCAACUUCCUCUACUUCACAAUUUACCAAUGGCAUCAUCAGCUACUACAAUGAAGUUCUUCUCUUUCUUUUUUGUUGUCUUUGUGGCUGUUGUGGCCUCGGCUCAAGACCUUAGUCCCUCAUCCGCUCCGGCACCAGGUCCUGAUGUUGGGGCUUGUGGAUCUGUUACGAGUUCAGUUGCUAUGAUCGGAGCUUCAAUUGUGUUGUCAAUGCUUGCCAUCUUGAAGAACUGAAAACAUCAUGAACCCACUAAUUUUCUGGUGGAUUUCGUGGAAACAAAGAAAAUGAACACAACUCAAAGAUAGUCGUUAUUGUUGAUUAUUAUGAGUUGAUCUACCUACACAUUUUCUUGUGUACUAUACUUGAGAGCGAGAUAAUAUUUAUUAUCCUAUUUCAUUAUUCAUUGUAGGUGUUAUGUAAAAAUAAAAAGGAUUUUAUCAUCCUUUGUCUAAAAAUAAUUAUUAGCAUCUUAGUGUUAUAGCUUAUUCGUUUUUGUGUGUAAUAUAUUAACAAUGAUUUUUGUAAUUUAUUAUUUUUCCAAAUCUUAUUCCUCGCUUUUGGUAUUUUUUGCUCAAAAAAAAAAAUAACAAAGAAGUGACCAAGUCGAGAGUCUCAGCAAGGUCAUGAAAUGCCCUACAUCUCAUUGAGUACUAAUAUAAUUAUUUACAGAUCAUCUAAUAAAAAGUUUCUUACAUUGACAACGAAAGCUAAAUACACAUAUUUGCAGAAUAUUAAUCAAUUACAACCUAAUCCAACUCCAUUGACAACUUACUCGUAUGUUUUCGAUAAAUAAGUUUUCUUUUUAAUUUUUUACAUUGAAAAAUUAAGAAUGGAGACGAGCAAAAUAUGUGUCUAAAACGAGCAAAAUUUGUCUCUAAACAUAUCUGGGACAAAAUCACAUACCGAACUGGGUCUGUGGUUACUUCCAUCGUCGCUAAGCCUUGAGAGACAUAAUUUAAAUUUCCACCUCCAAUCAUAAACAAAAUAAAUUUUUCUCCAAAUACUAAUAUCUGUCGUUCAUGGUUAAAAAAUAGAUGGACUAAAUCUGACGUUGUUGGAGAUAGAAACCACAAUCUCUAACAAACAUAAUUCCGUCUCUAAACUUUGUUGUGAAGUUUAUAAAUUUCGUCUCAAAUUAUUAAUAUUAUGGGUGUGUUUGUUUCUAUGGAAAGAUAGUGAGGGGGAGAGAAAGACAAGGGAAAGAAACAUUUUCCAUGGUUUGGAACAAGUGAAACCAACUAAUGAAAGAAUGAGAUACCAUGGCUUCCACACCAAAAACCUUUUCAUGGCAAUAUGUGCAGAAAGGUUGGGGAAACAACUAACUUUUGUUUAAAAAGUCCAAAGCACCCCUAGUUUUAUUGUUUUUUUUUUUUUUUUUUUAUUUCUAAACGGGUGUGCAUAUAUAUAAGGGUAUAUAUCUCCAUUAGAAAAAAAAAUAGAUCUUUCUUUCCUCCAAUUUUCUAAUCCACUUUCUAUUAAACCAAACAACCAAAACAAUCCCUUCAUUUUCCAUUUCCUUUCUAUCCUCAUACAAUCUUUCCUUUUACUAUCUUUCCUCUUACUUUCUCUUCUCAUCCAAACAUAGCCUAUGUCUCUACAUAGAAGGAUUGAAGUUUCGUCUCUAAAAAUAUUAUUGUUUUUCAAAUCUACCUCAAUAUUCCAAAUAUUUGCUAAAACGAUGUUUAAAAUUUUUAUUAUGUUUAUCUAGCUCUCGAUAAUGUCAUACUUAUAUUUUGAUAAACAUCAAAUUUGCAAAAAUGACAUAACAUACGCUCAUACAACUACACCACAUGAUAUCAAUACAUAAAGUUGUCAAAUAUAUGUAAAAACAAGGGUGGCUUAAGCACGGGCCAAGGGGGUGGCAGCCUAGGGCACCAUAAAUUUAGAGGCACCAAAAAAUUAUUUUUAAUAUAUAUGUGUGUGUGUGUGUAUUCCCAUUAAAAAAAAUAUAAAAUGCUAGUUGCUGACAAAAUCACAAGGCACUACAAAGUCUAAACUAAUAAAUGACGUGAAUAAAUAAAAUGUAAAAUAAAACCAGUCAACUACAUGUACCAAAAAAUAUUAAUUACAUCCAUAAUUUUAAGAGCUAAACCGAUGAGUCAUGAGUGAAAAGCAAGUGAAUAAUCUAAUUGAGGCACUACAAUUAAAAUAAUGAUAUAGAGUGUUAUGAGUAAUAAAGAGUAGGGUUUUUUUGCUAAAGUAUAUUAAAAGUCGAAUUAUUUUACCUAGUAUAUGAGCCUCUUUUCUUUCUAAUUCUAAUUCUUAUUCUCUAUGACUAAUAUCUCCAUCUCAAUUUGAAAACAAAAAAUAUCUCUCCAUCUUAAUUACGCAACUAUUAGCACAAGAACAAUCAAUUGUCAAAAGCAUAAGUGAUGUAUACGAUUGAUCGCAACUUCAUAAGAUAGGAGUAGGCGCCAAUUGCAAUUGCCAAACAAUUUAUUUAUUAUUUAAUAGUCAAACAAAUUUUAACUCUUGAGGAAUUAACAUUGAAUUAUGAAAUGUUGUGAUGAUAUAAACAUUGAAUUAUGAUCCAUGUCUGCUGUUUUGAUAAACUUGUCGAGUGAAGCCUAGACUCUGGAACAUGGAUUAUAGCUUAGAGCUAAUUGGUUUACAUUUCAAAGAUUCAUACUUGUGUUCUUCUUGCACAAUGUCAAAUGAAAUGUUUAAUAGUUUUCCCUUUCAUUUCUUUUAAUCGUAUCAUUUUUUGUGGAAUUUUUUUAUAAGGGCACCACUCUCUUGAUUCGUCCAAGGCAUCCAAAUUUAAAGAGUUAGCCCUGUGUAAAAAGAUCAUACUAUAUUUGAUAUACCAAAAAUUAGCUAAAUAAAAGUAAUCAUACUAAAGUUUAACAUCAAUCCAUCUCAUUGUCACCAAUAUAAAGCUAUCCAGAAUAUAAAAAGAUCAUGAUAUGUUGAUCUAACUAAAAAAAAACAUUAAUAAAAGGGACAAAGCUAGAGUUCAUCCAUCUCGGCGUUACCAAUAUCACCUUAUCCUUCUGGUUGAAUCGAAGAGUUCAUAUUAGGCAUUUCAAACGUUCCAUCUUCGGUAUUAUCAUUUCUUGUACAAAAAAAUUCAUAUCAAGUUCAGCAUCUUUUUCUAACGAAACUACAUCGAUAAAAAUUGGAGGUUACAACAAUAGCUUAUGAUCCUAGCCUCCAUAGCAGUAACCUUUUGGCUAAAUGUUUGUUUUUAUUUCUUUUUUUAUCAAAAAAAUGUUUUUUUCCUUUACAAAUGAUCUUUUUUUAAUUUCUAACUAACAAAUUGUUUCUUAACAAAAAUAUACAAUAAAUCUUUAGUCCUUAAAAUUGACUAUAUAAUAAGAGUUUAAUUUAUAUACUUUAUCAUUGGACAACACAUAUACCACUUAAACAUUUAUUCUUUGUCUCAUAAUAAUUGUCACCUUAUAAUAUAACACAACAUUUAUUAAUUUUUUCAUCAAUAUAUUCUUAUUUAUUGAAUUUCACUUCUUUUAAUUAAUAAACUAUCUUAAAUUAGUAAGAGAGUUUUGAUAAAUUACACACCAUCUGGUCACUAUUACAAGUAAAAAUCAACUUUUUAAAUACUAUAUAAAAAGUGGAUUUUUACAUAUAAUAAUGACUUUAGAGAUGUAUUAAUUUCACUAUUGAAACUAACAUAAUUGAUUUUUUUUUUUUUUAAAUCAUGUAGAACCUCAAAGAGGCAAUUAAAAGAGGGAAUACAAGAGUAACUUCAAAGAACAAUUCUACCACCAAUAAGAAUACGUCUAUUGUUCCACUUGGACAAACGAUUCCUUUAUACACCCUCCACUUGAAUUAUUAAUGUAUUCUUAGAACUUGGUACAACAGUCCAAGUCUUGGUCGAAAAAAGAGGUGUCCAAGUCAAUUUUAAAUCAGAAACGUUGGCAAUUAUAGCAUGGUGAAUCCUUCAAAGAAAAAACAAGCAUGAUGAUUUUACUUGGUUGUUUAACAAAACUAAACAGCACAUUCACACAGCGCCCAAUCGUAAACAAACAUCAAACGGCCGACUCAUUCAUAAUACAUUUUCAAGCUCCAGCUAUCCACGCUAUCUGUGGACCCCACACGCUUCUCUAAAUAAUAAUUCUUCCCUUAUAAAUACUUUCACACCCUCUCAAUUCUCAUAUCACCACUUCUCAACAUUCUCAACUUCUCUUUAUAUUUUCGAUCUUCAUUUUCAAUCUUCUAUUCCAUAGUUUUGCAAUGGCAUCAUCAGCUAUAAAGUUCUUCUCCUUCUUUUUGGUCAUCAUCUUCGCCGCCACAGUGGCCUCUGCCCAAGACCUUAGUCCCUCGUUGGCUCCGGCACCAGGUCCUGAUGCUGGAGCUGCUGGAUCUGUUACAAGUUCAGUGGCUAUGGUCGGAAUUUCGGUUGUAUUGUCAAUGCUCGCCAUCUUCAAGCACUAAAAACAUGAUGAUUCCACUCAUUUUCUUGUGGAUUCAUGGAAGUAGGCUGAUGUUCUGCUACAUAAUGUUGGUUUGCGGUAUAGUGAUGAUUGAUAUGAGUUAAUCUAUGUAUACUUGAGAGCGUGAGAGUGAGAGAUUUUUACCGUAUUUAUUUUUAUAUUUCAUUAUUUAUUGUAGGUGUUAAGGAAAAAUAAGGAAGACUUUACUAUCCUUGUCGAGUAAUUAUUAUUGUCAUGUUAGCGUUAUGCUUAUUCAUUUUUGUGUAUAAUAUAUAAACAAUGAUAUUAUUUUAUACUUGGUAUUUUUUUAUUUUAUAAAUAUUCUUAUUUUAUAUGUCUUUUAUCCUUGAUCAUUUAAGUUUGGACUUGAAUAUGAAAAUAAUUAAACAAGUCAUUUAUUUAAAAUGAUUAAUUAAUACGUUCAAAUUUUUGUAAUAUAAAGGGAAAUAUAUGUUUAAUUGUAUCUUAACGUUAUAAAAGAACCAAAAUAAUAUUAUUAUUUUUUUUGUUUUAAAGAAUGGAGUCGUGGAAUUCAAUUUAUAUAGGUGAAACGAAUUAUUGUGGGUUUGCCUAUGCCUAUUCGAAACUAGAGAAUUCGAGCAGCGAAAAUUCAAAUGAUAUAAGUGAAACAAAUUAUUGCGGAUUUGGCUAUGCCUAUUCAAAACCAAAGAACUAUUGUGGGUUUGACUAUGUCUAUUCAAAACCAAAAAUUCGUUAACCUAAAAAUUUAGCAGAAGUGGUUAAUGAGCUACACCAAAAAUGAAUAAUUCUAGAGAUUCUGAGUUGGUUCCUGAGCUCAAAGUUUUUUUUUGCACAAACCAAAUGAUAUAUAAUAAUAACAACAAUUAUCCACCCUGCACAAGGCGUGCAAAAGUGAAUCAUCUAUCAAAAUAUACAAAGUCCAGGUGCCAAAAAAGAGGGACACCAUCAUAAACAUCGAAAAAAAGUUACCGGUAAACACCCAUACAAAGUAACGGGUGUUUCACCAAUCAUAAUAACUGUAAACAAAGGAUGGUUGUUUGGUUUUCACCCACAAAAAAGAUGUCAUCUUGAUUUUUUCGAUGAGAACAUAAGGAUGUGAUGCCACAUUUUUAAAGAUAUGGUUAUUCCGAUCCUUCCAUAUAACCCAAGCACAAGCAUACCAAAUACCUUUUAAAAAAGAUUGAGUGCACCGUGGUAAUCCCGCCAUAUUGGAAAACUGAAGAUGAUGUUCACGUUACACGAUGAACAACUGAGUGGACAAAUUAACACGAAAAAAACAAACAAUCGUUUACGCUAAUAAUUUGUUGUAUACCAUACUUUUGAAAUUUGUUGAAUUUUAUCCACGAUAAAAUGCGACUUUAAAUCGGCCUCUUUGGAAAUAGGAAAUCAAAAUUCGCAUAACUUGUAUCAAAUCGCCCUUUUUUACCUUGUGGACAGGUCUUGCAUCUCUGCGAGCUUAAUAUUUUAUGGAGAAUAGGGAAUCAAAAUUCACAUAACUUGUAUCAAAUCGCCCUUUUUACCUUUAGAAAAAUGUGUAACCAUUACAUUUUUAUUCUCCAAGUUGCAAAAAAUGUAAAUUUUUAGGAUAAAGUUUUCUGUAUUUAAAAAGGAUAGAGAUUAAGAAAGAGAAAUAUGUAAGAGAGAAUGCGAGAAAAGAGAUAAAUGUAAAAUAUAAUAUAAUUUAAAAUAUGAUAUAAAAAACAAGGAAAAAUGUUUUAUAUUUUAGGUUUACUUGUUAAAAUAGCUUUUGUAAUAUAUGUGAAGUCUGAAAAUAAUCCUAGUAAAAAUAAAAACACAAAUUAUAUCCGUGUAAGAGAAAACAAUCAUGGUUAGAGAACAUAAUAAAUAGCAUGACGAUCUUGCUUAUUUAAAGCUAGAGGUAUAUAAGAUACCUAGCUCCCUACAUAUUUUGAUAAAAGAAUCUGAUUAAAGUAGUUUUAUAAAAAUAUCAACAAGUUGACACUAUUUAAAUAUCUUUAAAAAACAAAUCACUAACUUUUAAGUGAGAUUUCUUAGGGAAAGCAUAUGGCACAAGAAUGACUGCAAGAACAAUUCUACUACCAAUAAAAAUACGUUCUAUUAUUCCACUUGGACAAACAAUUUCUCAAUACAUUCACAACUUGUGAAUUAUUAAUGUAUUCUUAGAACUUACAAGAGUCCAAGUCUUGUUCGAAAAAAGAGGUAACCAAGUCAAUUUUAAAUCAGAAUCGUUGGCUAUUAUAGCCGUUGAUGUCUUCAAAUAAAAAACAAAGAUACGAUAUUUAACAAAAGUGAACAGCACAUUCACACAGCUCACAAACGUAUAGAAACAUCUAACGGCCGACUCAUUCAUAGUAAUAUAUUUUCAAGCUCCAGCAGCUGUCCAUGUUAUCUGUGGACCCCACACUCUUCUCUAAAUAAUAAUUCUUCCCUUAUAAAUACUCUCACACCCUCUCAAUUCUCAUAUCACCACUUCUCAACAUUCACAACUUCUCUUUAUAUUUUCAUUUUCUCAUUUUCAAUCUCAAAUUCAAAGUUUUAUAAUGGCAUCAUCAGCUAUGAAGUUCUUCUCCUUCUUUUUGGUCAUCAUCUUCGCCGCCACCGUGGCCUCUGCCCAAGAUCUUAGUCCUUCGUUGGCUCCAGCACCAGGUUCUGAUGCUGGAGUUGCUGGAUCUGUUACAAGUUCAGUGGCAAUGAUCGGAGUUUCAGUUGUAUUGUCAAUGAUCGCCAUCUUCAAACACUAAAAACAUAAUGAUUCCACUUAUUUUCUUGUGGAUUUCAUGGAAGUAGACAAGUAAUAUUGACCUGUUCUGAUGCAUAAUGUUGUUUUGUGGUACGAUGAUGAUUGUUAGGAGUUUAUCUAUGUAUUUUUGAGAGUGUAAGAUAUUUUAUAGCAUUUACUUUUACAUUUUAUUAUUUAUUGUAGGUGUUAAAGUAAAAUAAAUAGGACUUUACCAUGGUUCUUGAGUAAUUAUUAUUGUCAUGUUUGCUUAUUUAUUUUUGUGGAUAAUAUAUAAACUAUGACAUUAUUACAUUUUUCUACUUAGUAUUCUUUUAUAAAUCUUUUUCUUUUAUUCAUAUUUAUUCUUUCAUCAUUUAAGUUUGGACUUUUUUUUUGUGUACCUUUUAGUUUGGACUUGAAUAUGAAAAUAAUUAAACAAGUUGUUUAUUAGAAAAAAAAUAGGUUUAAUUGCAUUUUUCCUCCUAUCUUUUGUUAAUUGUGCAAUUUUGCACCCCUUUAUUUUUUGAGCGAUUUUGCACCCCAUCUUUUUCCCCCUUUCUGAUUUUGCCCCCCGUCUUUGUGUUCAAUUGCACUUUUGCCCCCUAUCUUUUUGCUAAUUGUGCGAUUUUGCACUCUCUCUUCUUUUUUUUGAACGAUUUUGCACCUUAUCUUUAGCCCCUUUUCCUCUCUUUUAAUGAUGAUUUUUAACAAAACACAAUUGGCAAAAGAUGGGGUGCAAAAUCACUCAAAAAAAACAAGGGGUGUAAAAUUGCACAAUUAGCAAAAGAUAGGGGGAAAAGUGAAAUUAAGCCACUUUUUUCUUGACAAGAAAGCAUCUCCAAGAUUUUUGUAAGAAGAUAAAAGAAAUACUCCCUCCGGUCCUAUUUAUAAGAUAAAGUUGGGUCAACAAAAGUUGAUGUAUCAGGUUAACAAUUUUCUUAUAAAUAGGACCAGAGGGAGUAUAUGUUUAAUUGUAUAUUAAUUUUCAAAAAGAACCAAAAUUUAAGAUAAAAAUAAAGAUUUGCGAGAAAAUAAUAUAUUUAUUGAAUUUAACUCCAUUUCAUUAACCCACUGACUUUAAUUAAUAAGAGUGUUUUCUUUUUGUGGUGGCCGAAGUUUAAACCUCAAACCUUAUAUAUAUUAUGCAUUGUCUCCAGCAACUAAGUUAAAUUCACGAUGACAAUUAAUAAGAGUAUUUUGGUAAAUGAUACAUUAUUCAAUCACUAUUAUAAACAAAAAUCAAUUUUUUUUUAUAAAAUUUUAUUAUGACUUAUAAUAGUGAUCAGAGGAUGUACUAACAUUAUUAUUAAAAUCACCAUAACCGAACGUUUUCUUAAAGAGAAAUGUUAUUUGUACAACCAUUUUUAUACAACUUUUGUACAACUUUAUCUCUGAUACUCACAUUAUCUUCUUAUUCUCUCUUUUCUUUUUUCUCUCUCCAUUGUUUUUGACCAAUAAGAAGAGAGAACAACAAGGUUGUACCAAAAGUUGUACCAAAAUAGUUGUUCAAAUAUCAUUACUCUUUCUUAAAAAUCGUACACAACCACAAUGUGACAAUUAAAAGGUAUGGGGAGUGCGGAUAGGUAUUAUUCUUUCCCGAGAAAUGAUAUUUGUACAACCACUUUGUGAUAACUUUUUGAUAACUUUCUCUCUCAUACUCACAUUAUUCUCUUAUUCUCCCUCUUUCUUUUUCUCUCUCCAUUGUUUUUGACCAAUAAAAAUAGAGAGAAACGAAGUUGUCACAAAAAUCGUAUCAAAUGGUUGUUCAAAUAUCACUUCUCUUCUUUCCCGUGUCUUUUUCACCCGUCCAAUGAUAAUCCAACCAUUUCUAAUAAAUUUUUAUAAAGUUCAGUGAAAUAAAAUGAAUGGUUAAGAUGAGUGACUUCAAGAGAACAAUUCUACCAUUAAUAAAAAUAGGCUAAAUUACAUUUUUGGUCCCUUAACUAUUUAGGUAGUAUCACUUUGGUCCCUAAGUUAAAAUUUGAUUUAUUUUGUUCUCUUAACUCCUUCCUGCUACACAUUUUGGUAUUUUUCGUUAGUUUUAAUUCAAAAACGUUAGGUUUUCUUCAUUUUCUUCUGGAAUUUUUCUCGGAUUCAUGUUGUUGAAGGUUGAUGGAGAUGAUAUAAAGAUGAAAAAGAGGAGAAGAAGAUGAAGAAAACCUAACGUUUUUGAAUUAAAACUAACGGAAAAAACUAAAAUGUAUAACGAAGAGAAGUUAAAGGACCAAAAUAAAUUGAAUUUUAAUUAAAGGACCAAAACAAUACUAGCUUAAUAGUUAAUGAACCAAAAAUGCAAUUUAGCCAUAAAAAUAUGUCUAUGGUUCCACUUGAACAAACGAUUCCUCUAUACAUCCGCCAUAUGAAUUAUUAAUUGAUUCUUAGAACUUACAAGAGUCCAAGUCUUGAUCGAAAAAAGAAGAGUCCAAGUGAAUUUUAAAUCAGAAAAUAUUGGCUAUUAUAGCGGUUGAGUUAUUCAAAGAAAAACAAAAGAUAUAAUAAUUCUACUUUUUUGGUACUUUUGUUUAACAAAAGUGAACAGCACAUUCACACAGCUCACAAACGUAUAGAAACAUCUAACGGCCGACUCAUUCAUAGUAAUAUAUUUUCAAGCUCCAGCUGUCCACGUUAUCUGUGGACCCCACACUCUUCGCUAAAUAAUAUUCUUCCCUUAUAAAUACUCUCACCCUCUCAAUUCUCAUAUCAUCACCACUUCUCAACAUUCACAACUUCUCUUUAUAUUUUUAUUUUCUCAUUUUCAAUUUCAAUUUGAAAGUUUUACAAUAACAUCAUCAACUAUGAAGUUCUUCUCCUUCUUUUUGGUCAUCAUCUUCGCCGCCACCGUGGCCUCUGCCCAAGACCUUAGUCCUUCGUUGGCUCCAGCACCAGGUCCUGAUGCUGGAGCUGCUGGAUCUAUUACAAGUUCAGCGGCUAUGAUCGGAGUUUCAAUUGUGUUGUCAAUGCUCGCCAUCUUCAAGCACUAAAAACAUGAUGGAUUCCACUUAUUUUCUUGUGGAUUUCAUGGAGUAGGCAAGUAAUAUUGACUUAUUCUGGUGCAUAAUGUUGUUUUGCAGUACAGUGAUGAUUGUUAGGAGUUUAUCUAUCUAUUUUUGAGAGUAAUGUAAGAUAUUUUACGGUAUUUAUUUUUACAUUUCAUUAUUUAUUGUAGGUGUUACAGUAAAAUAAAAAGGACUUUACUAUCGUUGUUGAGUAAUUAUUAUUGUCAUGUUUGCGUAUUCAUUAUUGUGUAUAAUACAUAAACAAUGCCAUUAUUGCAUUUUUCUACUUGGUAUAUUUUUUUAUAAAUCUUUUUAUUUUAUUCAUCUUUUAUCUUUCAUCAUUUAAGUUUGGACUUUUUUUUGUGUACCUUUCUGUUUGGAAUUGAAUAUGAAAAUAAUUAAAAAGUUGUUUCUUAGAAGAAAAAAAAUAUUUAAUACUAACAGCUCAAUUUUUGUUUUGAACAAUCAAAUUUAUUAGAAAUGACAGAAGUAGUACUUAACUCACAAUUCAGGAAUAGUACAAGGGAUACUUGCUUAGUAAAAAAUCCAAACUCUAACUUAAGUAUUUAAACAAAGAAGAGAGUUUGAGUAUCAUUUAUUAUAUAAACACGGUCCCACUUUUUUCUUGACAAGAAAGCAUCUACAAGAUUUUUGUAAGAAUAUAAAAGAAAUAUAUGUUUAAUUGUAUCUUAAUUUUCUAAAAGAACCAAAAUUUAAGAUAAAAAUAAAGAUAUUAAAAGAUAAAGAUUUGUGAGAAUAUAAUAUUUUUUUUGGUUUUAAAGAAUGAAGUGGCGAAAUUCAAUUCAUAUAGGUGAAACGAACUAUCUCGGGUUUGAACAUGCCUAAUCAAAAACAAAAAGUCGCAAAAAGUCGUUAACCAACAAAUUUAGCUGAAAUAGUUUAUGAACUACACCAAAAAAUAAUUUAACACGAAGAAAAAAAAAGGAAAAAAUCGUUUACGUUAAUAAUGAGUUGUGGUCUUUCUAUAAACUGGCAAAUUUAUUAAUCAAGCCAAUUUACAAGAAGUAACGAAAGCACAAGCAAACAAGAAAAAAACAAUCAUAAAAUAAAAAUAUAAAAAACAAGUACUACACCCUAAGAACAUGCCCUCAUAAACACAAUUUUACACUACACAAUCCGAAGAAAGACCUAACUAAGGUUUUACAAUUCGAGAGUUUACCUCAAUUUGUUUUACCUAUAUAAACUCAAACUCAUAUAAGUUUAUUUAAAAUUAAAAUUAUAUAAAAUUUAUUAUAUCCAUGACAUAAGUAAGCUAAUAUAAUAUUGCAAAUAUGUCAAUAAUUCAAAAUAUGACUUAAUUACAAAGACAAAGUAUACAUAACCACCAUAAUAAAGAGUUGUGUUCGGCUUAGCAUCAAAAUACAAAAUUAACUUGCAAAAUCAUAAGUUUGGUAAGACUUUAAACCAUCCAAUAAAGCAAGUUUUAAAAGUUUUUAAAGUUGUUAAUGUUGGAUAUUUAUAUAUUGGCUUCACUUUUGCCUAAAACAAAUAUUCAUGUGAGAUAUUGAACACGAUGUGUCAACAUCCUGGCAUGGUUCAGUUGAUCUGCACACUGUCUCGUUUUAUGCACGCGCUAUUUUAUUUAAAGAAUCCACAUCUUUAUUCAUGUUGGUCAAGCUGCGUGUUUUUAGCACAUGAUCAGAUCAGUUUGUGAUUUCCUAAGAUUGUGUUAUCUACUUAGGAAAGUUUGGAGGUGAUCACGAUGUUCCUAAUAAUGUGCCUACAUAUUAGGAGUUUCCUUUUUUGAUUCUGUUGAUCGUGAAAUGGAUCACCGGAUUGUUCUGAAGCACAACAAGUUUACUGACUCGUAUUGCUUCAGUAUUUAAACAAGACUCAUUCAAGCCGUCAUUUUGAAGAAUAGAUCAUCUAGGAUUUUGAGUCUGUUUGUGUGAGCUUUUCGUGUAUCAUCUUAAUGCAUGUUUAGGACUGUGUUUGAGUUGUAAAUUGUGCACUACUCUGAAGCUUUUAAGAAAAGAGUUAGGUAGUUUGUAAACUGCACCUAAGUUGUGAAAUACGGUGUUUAGUUUUUUUGUGUUUGUAAUUUGAGAAUCACAGGGGAUGUGAUCAAUUGUAAGGGAGUGAGAUGGGAUCUCAGAUCUAGGAGUUCCUAGGUUGAAGUCAGUACGGGUAGGUCCUAGGUCAUUAGCACAAACGAGGAGUUUGCUGAGAGCUAUUGAAUAAGGACUACACUAGUGGAUUUCCUUCCUGACUUGGUAGCCCCCAGAGUAGGUGACGUUGCACCGAACUGGGUUAACAAACUCAUUGUGCUUUUUACUUUUAUGCUUUGCGUUUUUCUUGUCUUUGUUAGCUUAGUGUUCGAAACAUUUCACUCAACAUCUGUUUUUGUAUAACUUGUGUUGAAACAUUGUAUGGAACAUCUUAAGUCUAACGUGCCAGAAUUUCAGUUAAUGAAGUUAUCCAAAAAAUAAACUAGUUAAUUUCUUCAAAAGUUCAAUCAUUCUAAAGUUUCUUAAUAUCAUUAUCAUUGGUGUCUUCAUCUCCAAUUUCAUCAAAUUCUUCUCGAGAUGAUAUAGAAUUUUCCAUAUUACAACCAAAUACAUGGCUUGAACUCACUUCAACAUUAAUUAACUCAUUCAAGUUUACUAUAGUUACAAGAUUUUACCAGGUUUAACACGUGUUAACUAACCCGGUCAAACAUUACAAUUUCAUCAAAAAUAAAGUAUAUCUGCGAGUUAACACGUUUUGGCCACCUAAAAAUGUAAACUCGGACGAAUUUACGAGUUAACAUUUGAUUUGUUGAACACUGCCCGCAACCACACCUGCCAGCUCCAUAAAAUCUACUGCCAAACCUCUACUGCUAAAUUACAUUCUAAAAAUAUGUGUGAGACGUUUUCAUCCGUUCCACAACCAAAUGAACAUAUUUUUUUACGAUUUAAUCCAAACUUCUCUUUUAACUAGAUUAUCUUUCGUCGGUAUCCUAUUUUGCAUCAUUUAUUCACACCAAAACUGAUGAAUACGCCUCCUUUAUCGUAUGUCCUUUUCUACCACUUAUCAUCCUAUCAUUCUUCAAAUUGUAUCUUCUUUAUCGUACAACUAAAUCAAACGCCUUUAAAUUUUUAAUCCCUACCCCUCCGACAUACUUUGUCAGUUAAUUUUCCUACUUACCUCUUUCCCAUCUCACCUUAAACUUCUAAAGAGAGAUUCCAGUUUAGAAAUUAAUCUAAAGUACCCUUGAAGAAAGAAAGAAAAUGGAUAGAUAAACCAUACAUCCCCAGUUUCAUUUUACUUGCCACUUUAGUGUUUUUUUUCUUCAUUUCGAAAUAAUUGUUACUUAUACUAAUAUAAUAUUUUUUUUCAUUAAUAUACCUUAAUUUAUUGAAUUUCACUCCAUUUAAUCAUCUCACUAACUUAUGUUUUGAUAAAUAAUACUAACUAUACAUGUUGUUAGUUAUCAUGAAAUCCCAGGGAUAAAGUACAUAAUGAUCAGCAAAAAAGAGAACAUACGAAUAUUCAUGUGGGAGAUACCCAUAGAAACUCAUAGUAGAAGGAAUAGAUUGGAUAAAAGAUGAUUAAGAGCGUACAAUGGUGAAAGCUAUUUAUAAGGGAAAGUUAGUCUAACUAACUCUUAACUACUCAACCAACCAGCUAACCAUAGUUUUCAUAUCAACUAACUAUGAUUUAUUCAUUAUACUCUAAUAGUCUCCCUCAAACUCAAAAUGGAGAAAUUCACCAAAUUUGAGUUACAAUUUAUUCACUAUAUUGUCCAACUCUACUCUCAAAAGUUACGAUUAACGUGACAUCAUGCUUUGGAAUACUUUAAUUUUUCCCAAAAAUGCCAAUUCCCUCCUUUGAUUAUAUUCAGUCGAAAAUGGCAUUUUUGGGGGUCCCAAUUUGUUAGCUGGUAUUUUCACCAGCCUCAUUUAAUAUGGUCAACAUUAGUUGACUUUUACUCUUGCAGGAAUUGAAGUCUUUUUCCUCAAUAAAAACAUUUUCAACGAAAUGUUGGAUUUAGUGUGAAGAGUCUCGAAGCAUUGAAGUUCGACAAGACACAUAGCAAGAGGCGAGGCCGUUGUAGUCAAGCAACUGCCUUUGGAGCGGGAAAGAUUCAAAUUUCAAAGGAGAAUCGGUUUCCUCAAAGGAGAACGUGGGAUACAAGCGGUUGUCUACAUGGAGGGAGUGUUGAUCGUGUGAUUAGUUUCUUUCCACUUAUUUCUUAUGUAUAAAUAAUAGUUUUCCAUAGGAAAACGGGUCGCAUAUCGCCUAUACAGAAUUUUCAAAACACUCGAAGUAUCGGCGCAAGAGAAAAUGGUCACAAAGAAUGUAUGUAAAGGAUUUGUCAAACCACCUUUAUUUUUAAUGCACUUGUAUUUGCACUUUUUCUUUUCUUUAAGUUUAUGCAAUUUAAACUUAAUGUUUUAAAAAACCUGUCGAAAGACGCCACACGGUCUCAUCCCGUUCCAUAAACAACCUACGAACUUGAUGAACGCACACCAACAAAUUGCACAACAUGUCCUAGGAUCUCUAGUUUGGUUCUUCUUGUUAUAAUCAAAACCAGUCAGUAUUUAUUUACCAUAAACACUGAUAAACAGCUAGUUAACUCACGGCAGGGGCAUUUUCAAAAAUUUGUUUGGGAGUGAACAAAACUUGUUGAAAGAAGAGCAUUUUUCUAAAAUGAUUUCUUAAUAAUUUAUAGAGCCCAAUCAAAUAGAGUCUUCAGUCACUGUAGCAUCUACUCCCAUGAAGUAUAAGAGCGAUUUCAAGAGAACAAUUCUACCACCAAUAAAAACACGUUUUUUGUUCCAUUUGGACAAACCAAUUCCUCUAUACAUCCACUACUUGUGAAUUACUCCAUUUGUUCCAUUUGGAGUAUUAAUGUAUUAAUGUAUUCUAGGAACCUAAAAGGGUCCAAGCCUUGUCCCAAAAAAGAGCAGUCCAAGUCAAUUUUAAAUCAGAAAACAUUGGCUAUUAAAGCGGUUGAGUCCUUCAAAGAAAAAACAAGCAUGAUAAUUUUACUUUUUUUUUAGGGAAAGCAUGAUAAUUCUACUUAGUUGUUUAACAAAACUAACAACACAUUCACACAGCGCACAAACGUAAACAAACAUCUAAUGACCGACUCAUUCAUAAUAGAUUUUUACAAGCUUCAGCUGUCCACGUUAUCUGUGAACCCCACACGCUUCUCUAAAUAAUAAUUCUUCCCUUAUAAAUACUCUCACACCCUCUCAAUUCUCAUAUCACCACUUCUCAACAUUCACAACUUUUCUUUAUAUUUUCAUUUUUUUCAUUUUCAAUCACUAUUCAAUAGUUUUGCAAUGGCAUCUUCAGCUAUAAAAUUCUUCUCCUUCUUUUUCGUCGCCAUCUUCGCUGCCAUCGUGGCCUCUGCCCAAGACCUUAGUCCUUCGUUGGCUCCGGCACCAGGUCCUGAUGCUGGAGCUGCUGGAUCUGUUGCAAGUUCGGUGGCUAUGAUCGGAGUUUCAAUUGUGUUGUCAAUGCUCGCCAUCUUCAAGCACUAAAAACAUGAUGAUUUCACUUAUUUUCUUGUGGACUUCAUGUAAGUAGACAAGUAGUAUUGACUUGUUCUGGUGCAUAAUCUUGUUUUGCAAUACAAUGAUGAUUCUUAGGAGUUAAUCUAUGUAUUUUUGAGAGUGUAAGAUAUUUUACUGUAUCUAUUUUUACAUUUCAUUAUUUAUUGUAGGUGCUAAAAUAAAAUAAAAAGGACUUUACUAUCUUUGUCGAGUAAUUAUUAUUGUCAUGUUUGCUUAUUCUUUUUUGUGUAUAAUAUAUAAACAAUGACAUUAUUGCAUUUUUCAACUUGGUAUUUUUUUUAUAAAUAUUUUUAUUCUAUUUAUCUAUUAUCUUAAUCUUUCAUCAUUUAAGUUUGGACUUGAAUAUGAAAAUAAUUAAACAAGUCGUUUAUUAAAAAAGAUAUUUAAUACUAAUAGUUCAAAUUUUCGUAAGAAUUUUUUUUUAUUUUUUUUUACAAUCAAAUUUAUUAGAAAUGAGAGAAGUAAAAUGAAUACUUAACUCAUAACUCAGGAAUAAUACAACAGAUACUUGUUCAGUAAAAAACAAACUCUAACUUAAGUAUAUAAACAAAGAUGAGGGUUUGAGUACCAUUCAUAAUACAAACACACUUCCUCAUUUUUCUUAACAAGGAACCAUCUCCAAGAUUUUUGUAAGAAUAUAAAAGAAAUAUAUGUUUAAUUGUAUCUUAAUUUUCUAAAGGAACCAAAAUUUAAGAUAAAAAUAAAGAUAUUAAAAUAUAAAGAUUUGCGAGAAUUUUUUUUGUUUUUUUUUGUUUUAAAGAAUAGAGCGGCGAAAUUCAAUUUAUAUAGGUGAAACGGACUAUUGUGGGUUUGACUAUGCCUAUUCAAAACCAAAGAACUAUUGCGAGUUUGACUAUGCCUAUUGAAAACCAAAAAAAUUGUUAACCAAGAUAUUUAGGUAAAGUGGUUAAUGAGUUAGACAAAAAUAUGAAUAAUUUUGGAGUUUUUGAGUCUGAUUCCUGAGUAGAAAAAGUCAACACGAACAAAAAAAAAUUGACCGUUUACGCCAUUGAUUUGUGGUCUACCAUAAGUUUGAAUUUGUUCAGUUUUCUCCACGAUUAAAUGCGACUAUAAAUCGGCCAUUUUAGAAAUAGGGAAUCAGAAUUCCCUUAACUUGUAUGAAAUCGACCUUUAUUCUCUAAGUUACAAAAGGUUAAAUUUUUAAGAUAAAGUUUCCUUUUAUUACUUUUUUUUUGUGGUACCUUUUAUUACUUCCUUAAUCGAUGUUCUAAGGGCAUUCAUUAGCAAGACCCAUAUUUUAUUUUUAUUUUUGUAUUUAAAAAGAAUAGAGAUUGAGAAAGAGAAAUGUGUAAGAGAGAAUGUGAGAAAAGGGAUAAAUAUGUAAAAUAUAAUAUCAUUUGAAAUAUGAUAUAAAAAACAGAGAAAAUGUUUUAUAUUUUAGGGUUACUUGUUAAAGUAGCCUAUGUAAUAUAUGCAAAGUCUGAAAAUAGUCCUUGUAAAUAUAAAAACACAAACUAUAUCCUUGUAGAGGAAGAUUCAAGAUCCAAAACAGAGGUCAAACUCUUUCUGGCAUCAGAAGCAAUGAAACUAGUGGGAGAGAUAACAACGUGACGAAGUAGGAGUGAGGAUGAGAACGAAGCAAAAAUGAAAAAUGGGUUUUAUAGAAUAAAACAGAGGGAUUUCAAUUUCAAAGUUUGAAGUGAAUGAAUGUUUAAAUUUAUGUUUAUUUUUUGUUUAUGGGUUUUUAUGGAUUUUUUAUGAAGGUUGAUGAUAAAGAUGGUAUGAAGUAGGGUUGUGAAAUUCUGGCACGUUAGACUUAAGAUGUUCUAUACGAUGUUUCAACACAAGUUAUACAAAAUCAGAUGUUGAGUGAAAUGUUUCGAACACUAAGCUAAUAAAGACAAGAAAAAUGCAAAGCAUAAAAGUGGAAGGCACAGUGAAUUUGUUAACCCAGUUCGGUGCAACAUCACAUACUCUGGGGGCUACCAAACCAGGAAGGAAAUCCACUAGUGUAGUCCUUAUUCAAUAGCUCUCAGCAAACUCCUCGUUUGCACUAAAGACCUAGGACCUACCCGUAUUGACUUCAACCUAGGAACUCCUAGAUCUGAGAUCCCAUCUCACUCCCUUACAAUUGAUCACAACCCCUGUGAUUCUCAAAUUACAAAUUCAAUGAAAUGAAGUUACCAUCAAACAAAACAACUAAACACCGUACUUCACAGCUUAGGUGCAGUUUACAAACUACCUAACUUUUGCUUAAAAGCUUCAGAGUAGUGCACAAUUUAAAACUCAAACACAGUCCUAAACAUGCAUCAAGAUGAUACACGAAAGGUUCACAUAAACAGACUCAAAACCCUAGAUGAUCUAUUCUUCAAAUGACGGCUUGAAUCAUUCUCUAGGUCUUCCAGUCUUGUUUAAAUACUGAAGCAAUACGGGUCAGUAAACUUGUUGGGCUUUAGAACAAUCCGAUGAUCCAUUUCACGAUCAACAGAAUUGAAAAAGGAAACUCCUAAUAUGUAGGCACAUUAUUAGGAACAUCCUGAUCACCUCAAAACUUUCCUAAGUAGAUAACACAAUCUUAGGAAAUCACAAACCGAUCUGAUCUUGUGCUAAAAACACGCAGCUUGACCAACAAGAAUAAAGGCGUGGAUUCCUUAAAUAAAAUAGUGCGUGCGUAAAACAAGGCAAGGUGCACGUCAACUGAACCAUGCCAGGAUGUUGGCACAUCGUGUUCAACAUCUCACAUGAAUAUUUGUUUGAGGCAAAAGUGAAACCAAUGUACAAAUAUCCAACAAGUUGGACAAACAUCCGACACCGAACGCGAGCCCGAUCAAACCGAAAGAAAUAUCAAAGUUUCGGUUGGGUUUAUCGUGUUAGUGGGUCGUCGAUUUAUGUUUCGGUCUUACAUGGACACAAACAGUCGGAAUCGGAUUAUACAACCGUUGAAACCCACAUCCGACCAAACUUCUUUCAUUACCGCUAGUAUUUUGCCAUGAAAUGACAAUACAAAUUCAACUAUUAAUUAUAUCUAUCACCUACAUUUAUUAAUUUUUUCCACUAAUAAUACUUAUUUAUUAAUUUUUCCCUACAUUUAAUUAAUCAACUAACUUUAAUUAAUAAGAGUAUUUUGAUAAAUGAUACACCAUCCGAUUACUAAUAUAAGCAAAAAUCAACAUAUCAUAAUAUUUAUUUAUUGAUUUUCACUACAUUUAAUUAAUCAACUAGCUUUAGUUAAUAAGAGUGUUUUGAUAAAUGACACACCAUCAAAUUACUAUUAUAAGUAAAAAUCAACAUAGCUGAGCGUUUUUUUUAAGGAAUAACCGAUCAUUUUCUUAAAAUGUUUUAUAAUGCUUUCUUUACAGAGCCCAGCCAAAUAAAUACUCUUCGGUCACAGUAGCAUCUGCUCCCAUGGAGUACAAGAGUGAUUUCAAGAGAACAAUUCUACCACCAAUAAAAACACGUCUUUUGUUCCACUUGGACAAACCGAUUCCUCUAUACAUCCACCACAAGAGUGAAUUAUUAAUGUAUUAUUAGAACCUACUAGAGUCCAAGUAUUGAACCAAAAAUGAGCAGUCCAAGUAAAUUUUAAAUCAGAAAAGGUUGGCUUUUAUAGCGGUUGAGUCGUUCAAAGAAAAAACAAACAUGAUAAUUAUAUUUUUUUUGUAGUAAAAGAGAGCAUGAAUAUUUCUAGACUUGCAAGCCCAAAAAAAGUCAUAAAAAACGAGACUUAAAAUCCUACUAGGAGGAGUCUCCAUAACAUGAAUAUUAAAAGAUUCCAAAGAGAAGCAUUUAGAAACAAAAGCAGAUGCUUCAUUAUUUGUGGGGUGAAGCAGCAGCUACUGCAACAUACUUCAUAAAUAGAAGCCUUGCAAAGAAAUUGCAAGAUAAGACACCAGAAGAAGCAUGGUGUGGAGUGAAAAAAAGUGUUCAACAUCUAAAGUUAUUUGGCUCAUUGUGUUUUGAGAUGUCUGAUCUAGGCAACUCAUAUACUUCCUGGGCAUUGAGUUUGAAAUGAAUUCACAAGGUGUUGUAAUUCAUCAAGGAAGUAUGCACUAGACGUUCUGAAGAGGUUUAAGCUGCUGAAUUGCAAACCAAUUUCAACUCCAGUUGACACAAGAGUGAAACUUUCUCUUUAUCAAUGAUGAGAAAGAGGUUGAUCCAACUCUAAUGGAAUUGAAACUAAAGAAUAAUGAAAGGAUGGAAAUGAUGGUUUAUAGCAAAUCUUCUAUUGACUUAGCCAAGCAUAUAGUUGCUCAUGGAAGAAGUAAACACAUUGAAACUCGUUUGCACUUCCUAAGAGAUCAAGUAAACAAAGGAAAGCUGGAAAUUGUGCACUGAAAAACAGAAGAGCAUGUUGCAGACUUCCUUAAAAAGUUAUUGAAGACUAGANNNNNNNNNNNNNNNNNNNNNNNNNNNNNNNNNNNNNNNNNNNNNNNNNNNNNNNNNNNNNNNNNNNNNNNNNNNNNNNNNNNNNNNNNNNNNNNNNNNNNNNNNNNNNNNNNNNNNNNNNNNNNNNNNNNNNNNNNNNNNNNNNNNNNNNNNNNNNNNNNNNNNNNNNNNNNNNNNNNNNNNNNNNNNNNNNNNNNNNNGGAUCCUGGAGGUUAAGGUGUUGCAUCAUUCUCAAGAGUAUACAAUUAUUUUUCUCGUGCAUGCGAUUGCCCCUUUGGACAUCACCACGUAGCCCUGAAAUUUCAACACCUUUGUCUUUGUUGCUCGGUGCUUAUCCUUUGGAUUUCAUGUUGCAUCAAUGUCCAUCAGUCAUUGUCAUAUUGUCCGUCGGCUUCAUGGUUAUGGUGCACCGGAUCAUCAUGCAAGUGUGCUCUUCCCUCAUCCUCAUCACCACCAUCAUCAUCAACAUUUUGUACAUGUGGGUUAGUGUAACGCCCUACUUCUAUUAAAGCGAUAAAACAUACGAAUAAAGCAUAUAUUCAAGAAAUAGACGUUACGUCUUCAACAAAUAACAUCAAUAUGGAUAUAUAAAAUUUCUCAACAGUCGCAGCGGAUAUAAAUCAUACAUCAUCAAACAUACAUGCCAUGAAAUCAAUAUACAUCAUGAUAUAAAAUCUCCAAAUCCCGACAUAUGGGUCAAAUCUCAAAAACAAAUAAAUCCAACAAAGAGAAAAACAAUCUUAUCAUGGUUGUGAGACAACCUUAUCAUGACAUCAUCAAGUUGUGAGACAACCAUUUAUGAGAAAAACAAUCUUAUCAUGGUUGUUAGAUUGUAAAGUUAUUCGUGUAGGGAAUCUAGUGCGGUACGGGACGAACUUGAAUGGUACCAAGACAUAUGAACUUGUGACAGGUCUAAUUUGCAAUGGAGCAAUCAUAUGGAUUUGUUGCGGGGAUAAUUUUUUUUUUUGGAAUUUCGAGAAGCACCUUGGAAUUUCAUCCUUUAUUCUGAUGUAGAGGUGUUUCUGUUCUUCUGCUAAUGUAUGGUAUACCAAAAAAAUUUGGAUAACCCAUACCAUAUUUUGGUAUACAAAAUGAUAAUGUUCUCUAUCCUCAACCUCGUGCAUCUUAUGGGACAGUACCCACUAUCCCACAUGAAAUAUUUUGAGUUAUUUCUAGUGCAAUUCCUACAACUAUAUCUUUCAAGGGUCUCUAGUGGAUGCAAGAAAAAUAACAUAUAAUUUUGCAUCUUAUAAACAUUGUAGAUAACUAGAUGGUUUACAUGAAAGGGACUAUAUUUGUCCAAAAUAUGAUAAUGUUGACUUUGAUUUUAAGAUAAAAUGAGGCAUUUCGGUUAUGAAUACAAAUUUAACAUUCUCACAUUUUGAACAAAUCCAAUUCCCUUUAUGAUAAACCAUCCAGCCCUCUACGAUGUUUAUGAGAUGCAUACUAUUUGUUAUUAUUCUUGCUUCCCUUGGAGGAGGACCUUGAAAGUCAAAGCCAUAGGGAUUGAUUUUAGGCAUUGAACUACAAAUACUUCUAAAUAUUCCAUGUUUGAUAGAGGGUAUUUAACUAUAAGAUACAUGAUGCCAAGGAUAAAGACCAUUAUUAUUUUGUAUACUUGAAUGUGAUAUGGUUGAUCCAAAUUAGUUUGGAUAGUGUAUGAAUCAAAACACCUCGAUAAUACAAUUGGUGAUGAUUAUUUAUAUAUGAUCUCAUUAUUUGGAAACUAGAAUUACAUAUGGUCUUGAAGCAUCACAAUGUCUUCGAUAUCAAACUUUUCCAAAAGAAAGAUUUAAGUUCCUACAAGUUGUGAAUGUCCAAUCUACAUUGUUACGUGAAAUAUCAUUUCGAGAUCUGUUUGAUCCAAAUGAAGCUUGAUUGUCAUCCUUAGAAGAAUCCAUUAGUAGGGUUCAUAAAUUGAGAGAGUAAAGUCCUCAUUUUUAUUUCCUCAAUGAUUAAUUGUCAAUGUUAAAAAUACAUUCCUCAAGGAUAUUUCUAAUCAAGAUUAUAAAAAGAUAAACCAAACUUCAAUAUUGAUUUUCAAAUCCCCAUUGUAUGUGUGAUAGACCUUACCUACAACUUCAUUUGUUAUAUGUUUCCUCUUCAUACUUAUCCACAACUACGUAUUCAAAAAUCUCUUGUUAGAAAAUAUAUUAUUUUCAGAUAUAUAUAUAUAUAUAUAUAUAUAUAUAUAUAUAUAUAUAUAUAUAUAUAUAUAUAUAAGCUUUAAGAAAUCUUUGCAUGCAAAAAUUGUACAAGUGGACUUCACAAAAUUUUCAAUGAUACUAAUAAGAUAAUUUUUGUUUUCAAUUCAAAUUGUGUCUUUAAGAGCAUUAAAUCCAACUUUACCCUUUAAAUUGUGUCUAUAAGUACAUAUUCCCGAAAGAAUCAAGAUGUUCUUAUGAAGGGUGCUGAGAGGUGUUCUCCAAACUCGUAUGAGACUACAAGAUAAAGGUGUGCAGUGUUCGAAUAGUUGGCCAUUUUGUGCAACAAAUUAUGAGAAUGAUUAGCAUGUUUUUAUAGGGUGUGAAGAGGCGAAAAAAAUGUAUGGAUUUGCGGCAGGAAUGUGGCAUCUAGUUCAGGAUGCGGCUAUUGUUACUGUAAACUUGGCAGAUUGGUUUUUUUCUCUAUUAUGCAAGAUAAUAGAUGGUGAAGGUGCUGAUUUGGAAAUGAUUCUUUGGUGCUCGUGGCAUCGAUGAUAUGAUUAAGUAUGGGACAAAGAUAUGAAACCAAUUAAUGUCGCAAUUCAGAUGGCGCGCGACACUCUUUUCCAAUGGAAGGCAACUAGAAAUGCGAAUUGUGUGCAUGUCCGACAACAACAAAUUAAUAUUGUGCAAUGGCAUCCACCAGAGACGAAUUAUGUUAAGUACAAUGUUGAUGCAUCACUGUUUGCAGAGCAACAAAGCUUUGGAAUUGGAAUGUGUAUCUGGAAUCAUCGUGGUCAAUUCAUCAAAGCGUAAACAACAUGGCAUGACGGAAAUCCACCACCAUAGGAAGCAUAGGCAAUCGGUUUACAUGAUGCUAUUCUUUGGCUUCGACAAUUGGGAAUAUCAAAUAUGCACUUUGAGCUAGAUUGUAAGCUAGUAGUUGAUAGCAUAGUUGAUAGGACUAAUAUUCAGGCUGAGUUUGGUAAUAUAAUAUCUAUAUGUAAGUAAGUCUCUACUAUUCCAAUUUCUAAACUUUAAGAUAAGUUUUUUUAAGGGGCAAGUAAAUUAUGUCACUCAUAGAUUAGAAAAGGUGUCACAAAUGCAUGCUCGUCACCAGGUGUUUGAUUUGAUUCCAUCGUGUAUUGACUCUAUUGUGAGAAAUGAAAUAAUAUGAGUUUUUGUUUGUCAAAAUAAACAAAACAAUCUUCUCAACACAUUCAUUUUCCCUAAAAAAAUAUUGCACAACUAAAAUGACAUUAAAUUGAAUUUUAAAAAAAUAUCACAUUAAUUAAGUGAAGUUAAAUUAAAGCAAUACUUGUUCUUAGAAUAUAAAAAAAAAAUACUUUGAUCUUUAUAUCUUGGUGCAUAAUAAUAAAAAAAACUUAUACUCUUUUAUAAAUAUCAUGUACCAACAUCCAAAGAAAAUCACACAUCAAACACAAAAUAAAAAAAGUUUUAUAUAUAUAUAUAUAUAUAUAUAUAGAGAGAGAGAGAGAGAGAGAGGAGAGAGAGAGAGAGUUAACUAGUGGAAUGUAUAGUAGUUAGUCACAAUGAAACUGAAAGUAAAAUACAAUCAUAGACAUAUAUCUCUAUGAUCAACACUUUUAAUACAAGACAAAUAUAAAAGUAAAUCAUGAAGUUACAACUAAAUCUUUGUAUAAAACUAAUUAAUACUCUUUUUUUUUUGGUUACAACUAAUUAAUACUCUUUUUGAAUCAACAUUGUUUUUUUAUGAUAAAAUAUAUUACGUAAUCUCUAAAAUUAUCGUAUAUUACAAUACCAUAUUUCUAUAUUGUACUAUUCCCGGUUCUACGAGAACCAAAAUCAUUAUUUACAAGACGAUUAUGUUAUAUAGUUUCAUUCCCCAUUACUCGCAUGACUCUGAGUGACCAUUUUCAUCAAGUCCUCCUAGGAAUAUAAAAAUGACAUUAUACCAUAGAAUAAUUGAUAGACUCCCUAACCGGAUCACUUUUAAACCUAACUGACAGGCCAUCUUGAACCGAUCUGCAUUGAUAUCUGAUAACCACAUAAAUGUUGGUUAUUACCUUUGAUUUCCCAUCAUUAUUUAAUGAUCUAUUGAAUGAUUGCAUGGCCUAAAUAUCUUAUUAUGUGUCUAUUUAGGAAUUUAUGAAUGUAUAUAAAUUUUAUUUUUAUUUAGUCAUUUAGAAAAAUCUAUGCUCGUUAGUAUUGGUUGAAUGAAUAGGUUACACAUUUUAUUUUUUUGCAAAGUAGACCAAAGUAGCUUUAGUUGGAGCGAAAGAUGAAGCGUCGUAGGAUUGGAAGUACAUAUAAGUGUAAUUGUACGAACGUGGGUCCAGCAAGGAUGUUCAUUUGGAGCUAAAGUCUCUAAUGAUCUUAGAUAGUUGGAGUUUUAUGAUCAUUUUGUAGUGAGUAAUGCAAAAAUCUCAUUCCUUUUUAGCCUGGAUUGCAAUCCUUCUUUGUAAACUUUAAAUUUAUAUAUUAUUUAUGAAAUGAAGGGUUAUUAAAUGUUAAUCUACAAAUCUUGUCACAAGAAAAAGAAUUAACUUUUAUAAUGAAAGAAAUGACUAUGAUUUGACCUUAAUAUUCUUGCAUGAUUAAGUUUGUAGUCACGAACAUUUAAAGAAUAGUUCUCGUAAUUUAACCAUGAUGGUUUUGUUGACAACCCCCUUUGGCCACUUGGUAUCCAGAAAGUUGUAACUUUCCACCACUUUGCAAAUCUCCAUUCUCCACUAAGUUAUGAUAUUUACCACAUUUUUAUACUUCAGACUACUUUUCCAAUUGCAACAUAAGGUUUUUGUAAUGUAUAUGUGACCUCCAUUCUCUACUUCCUUUGGUCAUUAUUAUAACCAAAGAUUCUCUUUUCAGGUAUAUUGAAUAUGUGACGUAUUUGAUCUAUAUUAUACACCAAGCCAAAAGCUUGGCAUAGGCAUGUGGUGCGACAACCUAAGGCUCGUGCAUGUAUGGAAGUAUUUUUAUAGGGGGUGUGUGUAUAUCAAGACUUGUUUAUAGGGAGUAUAUAUAGAAAACAGAAGAAAGACAGCCCAUAAAUUUAUCUGACUUCAGCCCAACAACCCUUCAUCUUUUUUUUCAACUCAACAUAAUUUCCUUUCCUUACCCCGCCCAAUGCUUUCAUUUUUACACCCCAACAUUUCAUUAGCCAAAAUAAAAAAUUGAGAAGUAAAACCUAAAAUGCAGAAGAAAAAAAGAGUAGAAUCUCUACUCCUUCCCAGAGUCCAGCGUUGCACCUCUGUCUUUGAGUCUAGUGCUACCACCCACUCCUAGCCGUACGCCACCUUUAGUCUUUGGAUUCAAUUAGUCUCAUCAAAAUGACUUCACACACUUUAGUAUGAAUGAAUUUUUCAAGAUUUUGAUUUUGAAUGAAUGAUUUUUGUAUGAUUAUGAAUGAAAUAAACGAAUGAAUGAAAAAUGAAUUGAUUUUGAAUCAUGAUAUUUGUAAAUAGUGAUUAACUAUAUAUCUCAACUAUAAAGAUAACAAAAGUAUAAAAACUAAAGUUAAUAUCAAUACUUGGACUUUCCAAAAAUUUAAAUCAAAUGAUCAUAUCAUUAAGAUGCCAAUCUAUAAAAAGAAACAUAGAAAGAAGAGAGAGGUAGACAACCUGAAUAUUUCGGGGAUUUGGUUUAAAAGAUAAGGUUUCCAUAAGUAAGAAGGUAGAGUUCUCAGAAUGUGAGAAAAACAUAAGAAGGGGGGUUGAAUUGUGUUAGUUUUUUUUCUUUUUAAACUAAGUACAGAGUCCAGAGUCUGAUAAAGUUCAGAUUCUGGAGCAAUGUUCAGAGUCUAAUUCAGCGGAUAAAUUAGAGAGAGAGAGGGAGAUAUAUAUAUAUAUAUAUAUAUAGAGAGAGAGAGAGAGAGAGAGAGAGAGAGCAAUUAUCCUGGUUCCUUCAAAAAUCUGGAAGUAGUGCAGUCCCCCUUGGACAAUAUAUAUAUAUAUAUAUAUAUAUAUAUAUAUAUAUAUAUAGAGAGAGAGAGAGAGAGAGAGAGAGAGAGCAAUUAUCCUGGUUCCUUCAAAAAUCUGGAAGUAGUGCAGUCCCCCUUGGACAAUAUAUAUAUAUAUAUAUAUAUAUAUAUAUAUAUAUAUAUAGAGAGAGAGAGAGAGAGAGAGAGAGAGAGCAAUUAUCCUGGUUCCUUCAAAAAUCUGGAAGUAGUGCAGUCCCCCUUGCUUGUCCAAGGAGAUUUCACUAUAAUCCAAUCUGAUUACAAAUGCUCAAGCAUACAAGCAAGAGACUUCAAAUACUCAAGCACUCAAACAAGAGAUUUUCUAUGCUCAAGCAAGAGACUUCAAAUACUCGUCUAAGACGUCGUCACCUCUGCCUAAUCACUCCUACUAAUCCUCGUGCCCCCUUUCUCCAUCUAAUAACAUGAGGGGGCGUAGCGACCUUUUCGGCCCGUGCACUACCGAUAGUGGUCUCUCCGCCUCCUCUAAGUCUGUCAGGCCUCUUAGACAUAUCUACACAAUAUUUUCAAAAGAAAAAAAUCAAUGAUUUUUUCUAUAGGGACAUUGUAUCAUUUCUAACUAUUCAACAACAAUAGUUAAAUUUUGACAGUGUCAUUUUAAUUUGUAAACUGCCAGAUUGCCAAUUUCUAGCUAAUUUCAUCAUUAACAAUGCAAAAAACAAACAAAUUUUCAUUAAGACAUUUUAUCAAACACCUAGAGUGCAACUUUCAAUCAACAUAAAAUCUAACAAUUUCUAAACCCUAAACUACCAUAUUGGAGUAAAACUUACUCUAAACAACAUCUAAACUACAGUUCCUAACUUAAUUCAUCACUAACAAUUCUAAAAACUAACAUGCAAACCAAAUUUCGAAAAUCUAAAAAUGUAAAAUUUCUCAAAAAAAAAAAAAAAAUUAAACAAAAAAAGGCAAUGCAAUGUGAUAAUCAACACUUACUUAAUUUUGGGGUACAAAUUGACUUUGAUUGGCGCAAGAAUGAAGAAAAUCGCACUUAGAAAUUGAAUGGUUAUGUGUCGGACUUUGUUGUUUUAUAACAGCACGCAACGUGACUUAACUCACAGUGGAUUAAAACUUGCAUGAAUUAACUCACACUAAAAGUACCGAGGGUAACUUAAGUCACGCAUGGAUACUUUUAACUUUUCAUGUGGGAGUGAGCAAAACUUAAUGGGAUAAGAGCAAAUUUCUCUUAAUAAGUGUGACCCAAUAACUAGGUCCAUGUACCUAAGAAUACAAGAUCACAUUCUAAGGAAUAGAGCCCCUUUAACUCAUGCUCACAAAUUUUCUCAAAGUGUGGUGGAGAAAGGAAAACAAUAAAAUGUGUAUUAAAGUUUUUGAACUUUAUGUCAAAAUAUUCUUUGAAACGUAUCUUUAUGUCAAUAUUCUAGGAAGAAAUUCUGGUGACUGUUCCAAGGCAUCUCUACUCCUUAUCUUUUGCACCCCAUUAGUUUUUCAUCGAGAUUCUAGACUGAGUAAAUGAAACACACUCAAAUAUCACUUUUCUUUUUUAACAAUACUCGAAUAUCACUUAAUUAAUUGAGAAUUUAAUAAUUAUACUUUGUGAGUUAACAAAUUUUUUCGCAAUUUACAACUAUAUUUUGGAUUUGGAUUCUCUCGAUUGAUUUUUUUUUCUUCAAGUUUUCUCAAUUUUCAAUCUCUACAAUGUAAAAGAAAUUGAAAACUCAAGAUCCAUUAUAUGCAAUAUGGACCAUGUAAACAGAAUUAUUUAAAUUCUAGAGGCUUCAUAUUUUAUCUUGUGAUGUUUUUUCUUCUUUAUGGCCUUUGGUGCGCCAUUGGUUGGAUAUUAUAGGUGUUGACACCAAUAUUCUUUUGGAUCAUUUUAUUCAGUUUGUGAACUUGAUAGGUGGAGGUAAAGCUACUAGAGACUUUCUUCAGCUUAGUUGGCUCUUAUGCGUUUUGGUUUUAUGGAACGAACGUAAUAGCAGGGUUUUCAACAAUGUUGUAACUUCUAUUCCCAGGUUGUUAGAUAAAGUUAAAUAUAUGUCUUUAGUCUGGUUGAAAGCCAAAAAGGUGGUCUUUAGGUUUGGUUCAGAUAGGUGGUGUUCAAGUCCCUUACAAUGCUUGGGCAUCGCGUAAUGGUUUGUUUUGGUUGGUUGUAUAACUCUGUAUUUGUAAAGUAGUUCUUGUGGCACACCUUGUGCUAGAAGAGUUGCUUUUGGUGGUUAAUAUAAUUAUAUUUUUGUUUGUUAAAAAAAAACAUUUUCUUUAGGCCUAAAAGCAUGUUAAGGAGACCCUUACUAAUAUCCUUAUAGAACUCAGUAUUAAGUACUGUAUCACAGUUUCUAGAAGAUUAUUAUACAAUGCAAUCAAAUUUCUUUUAUGUAAUAUGAUAGUACAUAAUGAUUAUUUUCAUCCAUUACAUAAUGAUUCUUUAAUCAAAGCUAAAAGGAAAAUCAGAAAAGAAAAUUGAAAAACAAAAUUUUAUGGACCUAAACUCAUACUAGGCAAAUAUCAGCAUUAUUUUCUAUAAUUACACAAUUGCAAACUAUGGCACACUCUUUUUUUUUCUUGAUAUAUACACAAAAUUUUUGCUCCCAUUUUCUAUCUAAAAGGAAGGAUUAAAUCAGCUACAAGGUUUACAGUGUUUCUUCUCAUGACUUGCACAUUUGCAUUUGUCCUUACAAUCUGUGAGUAUCUGCAAGAGGUGAAAGAAAUUUAGUUAGACAUUAUAGAUUUUGAUGGAAUUUAAUCAUUCAAUGUGUUUAUUCUUUUCAUUUUUAGGGCAAGGUAUAUAAUUUUCUUGUACCUGAACUUGUUCUUGUAGGUCUUUAAUGUACUCAACUGCCAAAUCCAACAUAUCUGCUGUGCUUGUUUGCUGCGAAAUUAGAAGUACUAAGUUACUGAAAUGUAUAUAAACUAUGUACCACCGUCACUUUAGAUUGAAGACAUGUCCGGUGUAUGAGACAAGUGGUGUCUGAGACGGACACAUAUGACAUUCAAUUACUUUCAUUUUUUAAAGUCAUUACUGAUGUCGGUGCCAAUGUCAUGUCCUGUAUCCAUGUCUGCGUUACUAAAAUGCAUAUGAUAUGCUUUUGAGAAUGUUAAAAUACCUUAUCUGAUUUUGGGAAAAGACCUUGCAGUUUCUUGAUUCUGUCACUAAUUCUUGUUCUUCUGACCUGAAAUUUUCAGAUUAACAUAUAUGAAACUAUUGAAUCACAUAGGUUUAAUAAUAGUAAUGUAGAGUAAUUAAACAUUUAUAAUUGUGAGUACUAGUAGUAGAAUUUUACCCUCUCUGCAAUGCUUCUUGGAUGAGUUGCGAACCCUCUUUUCGCUCGAAUUUUACAAGGAACAGAACCUUGAACUUGAAGAAACUUCUCCAUAGAUGUCAUCUUAGUAGAAGAACUAGGAAGACUCAAAUGAUGAGUCAAACCAAGAUUUUGAUAGCCAAAAUCUGCUUCUUGAGAGUCCAAACCAUUUGUAGUAGAAAACAUUAUUUCAUCUUCAUUUUCUGUUUUGUGUGCAUUGAAUGCAGAGUUGUCCCAAAAUUCAUUGGUGAAUUUGGAGCUACCAUUUUCAUUUACUAGGUUUAUAGUUUGGUCACAAUUUGAUUCUAAGCUUUGAAUUCCAUUUUCAGCUAUUUGUGGCAUCCUUUUCAAGCAUGUAGAUGGCCUAGAUGAGAAGUUAAGUGUACCAUUUGAGAUACCAUUGGCUUUAAAGCUUUCUACCUCUCUCAAUGUCAAUGUUGCAAAACCUUCAAUUAAUAAAAAUAUUCACAAUACCAAAAUAAGUCAAACAAUUUGGUUUGAUUUGAUUUAAUGCUAAGUAACUUUCAAAGUGUAGUUAAUUCAUGUGUAGCACUGACACAUGUCAAUAUCUCAUACUGACACGAUGCCAACACAUGUGCUUACAUUCAAUCACGUUCAUCAGUGUUAUUGUCAUGUCAAGUGUCCUAUCCCAUGUCAGUACUUUAUAUGUUAAUUUUCAACAUUUUCAUAGUUUAACAAAGAUGAUCCUAGCCAUUCAUACAAGGGAGAAAACUCCUUCAACGCUUAUAUUUUAUAUUUACAAGACUCAAACCCGAGAUCUUCCUAAUGAUGAAUCAAGCUCCUAACUACUUGGACCAACAAACAUUGGUCCAAUUGUUCAUUUGUUUUUUUUUGGUUUCAUACAAGAGAAGUAUUUCAAUUUAAAUCAUAACAUUUAUCUUUCAAUUAUAUGAAAACAUUAAGCCCUGUUUGGAUAAAGACUUAUGGCAUAAGAGUUUUAGGAAAUAAACUCUUUAUAACUCUUUAUGUAUAAACUAUUCCUACAAUAAAAGAUAGAAUAAAGUCAAAUUUGUUUUCCUAUAAGCUGUUUUUCUAAGCUAUCUAGGAGAGCUUAAGGAAAUAAGAUGGAAAAACUUAAAGACAUGUCAUAAGCUCGCCCAAAUAGUCUGAUAAUAAGUGUGUAUGUUAGUGGAUAAGCCCAAUAAGCUAAUCCAAACAGACCUUAAUUACUACCAUAGGGGAAAAAGCACAUAGUAAAAUCUAUAACAGUUUGCAAAUAAGAUAAAAUUCAUACCAUUUUCAUUAGAGAAAAAUUCAGCAGGUGAACUCUUUUGCCUAAUAAGAUUGGAGCAAUUCCUAACACCAAUUUUAGAUUGAUUAGAAUCAUCUGAUUCCAUAGUGUUAACUCCACCAAAAGAGCCAUAAAAACCAUUACCAGAACCAUUUGAAAAGCCUUGGUAAAUCAACUCAGAUCCACCAUAAGAGUAAUUACCAUUCUGUUGUGCAACAGAUUCACCUAUUUCUUGUUUCACAGGUUUCACAUCAAACUCUUGCAAAUUUUCUUCAGAAUUGUUCCAUCCAUUGUUGGAUGAUAUCAACUUGGAUAACAUGGUAUCCAUUUCUGAACUUGUGGAUGGAAGAUAACUCUCAUUUGUAAACGAUUCUUCAUUGUUGAUAAAGUUUUGAGCGUUGUUGUCGAUUAGGUUUGUAAACAACGAGGUUGGAGCCGAGUUAUACCUCAUUAGUAGUCCAGAAUUUUGUUGUUGAUAAUGUUGUUUUGAAUGAAUAAUACUUGAAGAAUCCAUUUCUUGGUUUCUUCUUAGCUCUUCAUACAUAGCACCCAUCUUGCUUAUACAAUUAUCUGCAUAAAAAAAUAUCUUUAUAAUUUCUUCCUAUAAACUAAGCAACUUUUUGACUUGCAACAUAAACCGAAUGCUGCGACUGCAAUUUAAAACCUUUUGUGUGAUAACCUCAAACAGUUAAACUCAUGGUUUUAUAUUGCGGUCUGCAACUGUAAUUGUGGCUGAAAUAUAAGUUUUUUUGAAGUCUAUGAAACGACAUCGUGAUUGCCGAAAUAGGAAAGUUUGCGGCAUAACUUCGGCCGCAACCACAAUUUAAAACUAAAAUUAGACUCAAACUUCCAAAGGGUAAUCCAACAUGUUAGUUUGCUUCUAUAAAAACAAAUUACCUUAGAGAUUCUUUCUUGAUUUAUGUGCCUUUUGUAAUCAAGGUUAGUUUUUGUGACAAGAAAACUAAGAAAAAGCCAAUAAAGGAUAUAUAUGCAACUCAAAAAUUUUGGUGAAUUGAAAUCAAAACUUCAAGUCCUUCAGCUUCUUGAGUCAAACUAAGAACUCUUUAAUAAACACACAAACAGGUAAGAGACAAGAGAGGAAGCAAUGAGGAGGCUAAGAAAUUAUUGUUGUCUUGUCUUCCACUUGUGACAUAUAUUUAUCAAGUGUCUUGUUUAGUAUUUAACCUUAUGUUUCCACAAUAAUAACGAUUUUACCUUGAUGACCUAAGUGGUCUAUAACUCUAUAUCAUUGUGCCCUUCAUUUAUUGCAGUUGACCAUUAAAAAUAAUCAAAAUUGGGGUCUUGACUUUAUAGAUCUUUUGGCUGUGAACAUUUAAUAGUGAAAGUGGACUUUAAUAUAUCUUAUUUAUGUGCUUAUAAUAUCAUUAGACUUUGUAAUUACCUAAAAUUGAAGUACAAAUUAAACUAUGAUAUUAUAAUUUAGAGAAGUGAGUAUGGUCAAACUUUGCCUAUCUAUUGUUCAUUUUAUUUAUUCUAUUAGAAUAAAUUAUUUAAAUAUCAUUCUUCAUUAUUUUCUUACAAUCAAAAGUUUAGAUUAGGUAGAAAAGUUUAGAUUAGGUAGAUCUUGAGACUCACUAGAUAAAUAAAAGUCUCAUAGCUCAAAGAGUAUCUACAUAGAUAUAUGUACAUAUUACUCUCCUAUAAGCAUUAACAAUAAUAUUUAUUUCUUUUUUGAUUUUUUACACGUUCUUUUUAACGAGAUUCAAACUUUCAUCGUUAAAUGUGAAUAUCUUCUUCUAUAUUCCAAGUUUGAUUCACUACAUUUAAGAAGAGUAGUUCUUUCAAUGACAUCUGAUAAAAUUUGAGCGAUACAGAGAAGUGUAACCUCUUUCACUAGACCCGCAGAGCAUACUAAUAUUUGUUGGAUCUUUAUUCUUCAUAUAAGUCAAACUACUAAUUUAUUAAAUUUAUAUAAAAAUAUUAGAUAUAUUGACGUGGCAAUGGAUAAGAUAUAGUGAUGCUUUGCUUAUGAACCAAGCGACGUUUGUGUAAGCAUUAGGACGAUUGUGGUGCAAGGAAAAUGUACGGUUGGUGUUCUUUGGUUGCAGCAAGGGGCACACCACCUUUUUUUUUGCUUUUAAUUUUAUUAGGUACGUGCAUUAUCCCUUGAAACUAUUCUAUCAUGUAUAUUUUUUCAAAGAAAAUUGUCUUUUUCAUCAAGAGUUGAUUAAUGAUUACCAUAGAAAGGUACUUUUGGAAAGGUUGGUGAUUCUUGAACGUUUGUGGUUUUCCUUUCUUUGUUUGUAGUUAUCUAAAAUGAGGAUGAUAUUAUUAUGUGAAUGAAUUACACUCAUAUGAAUUAGACUCAUGAGGAGUGUUAUGGACACUCUCUUUCUAACACUCUCUAACACUCAUUAUUUGGUGUUCAGAUAUUGUUUAAGAUAUAUGUUAACCUAUUUUAUUUAUAUUCUAUAAUAAUAUAUUUGAAUAUUUCAAUAAUUAAUGUAAGCUCUAAAGAUGAAAAGAAGAAAAAAAAAAAAAAAAAGGAGGGGGAGGGAGUGAAUUGUGUUGGUUUCUUUCGUUUGGAUCUCUUUAGUAAGAUAAAACAGAUGUUGAAAGUAAUGUGACAAAGGAAGAGAGAUGACACAAUAUGUUUACUCUGGUGGGAAUAGGUCAGACCGCUCGAUAGGGCCUACAGUCUAGUCUAUUUAAAAUUUAGUUCGGUCCAGUUCGUUUUAUUAGAAGGUUGGGCUCAAGCUUUUUAUAAAGCCUAUUUAAUUAAAUAGACAAAGCCUAUUUAAUUAAAUAGGCUAGGCUCAGGCUUAUAAAAAAGAGUAUUAAGUCUAUUAGGUCUGUCUAUUAAACUUUUUAUAUAUAGUUUCUAUUCCAUUAUUAAUAUUCUUGAAAUUAUUUUUUAUAAACUCACACCUUCAUAAGAUUUUGUUAUUUAGUAGCAGACUUAUUCGUAUGUUUUUGGCCUUCAUAUGAUUUGACCUAUUUAAUAGUAUGCUUAUAAGAGUGGCUAGACUUUAGUGUAAAAAGGCCUUUAAAGAGGCUUUCAGGCUUCAUCGGGCCUUUAAAAAUGUCAGGUCAGGCCUUAAAAAUAGCCUAUAACGAAUAAUAAGUCAGGCCCAGGCCUAUACUUUUUGAAGUAAGCUAGACUUAGGCCUUAUAAAGUCCAGCCCGACCUAACCCAUGUCCACUCAUACGUCUAAUUCUCUUACACUUUCAAGGAAUUUUUCCAUUAUAAUCAAAAUGUGAUUAGGACAACACUAAGACAACCUUGUCUUAGAUUUUCUUACCUCAACCUAGAGGACUUCCUAAUCUCAAUAUAUAUAUUUACAAUAAGAGAUCACAAUAGCGGUGUUUACACGAACUCUAGAAGUAGUUUGUCUCUUUUUUUCGUUUGGAUCUUUUUAGAAAGAUAAAACUAAUGUUGACAUUAAUGAGACAAAGAAAGAAAGAUGGCAAAAUAUGUUUACCCUGGUUUAGGAUCGGGUGUAGGUCACUAUCAAUCGGUCUAACCUAUUUUAGCCUUCAGGGAUUAUGAAUGUCCCAACUUGAACAUUAUGUCCAAGAAGUUCUUCAAGCCUAAUAUAAUUAUGAAAAUAUAAGAUUGUUGUUGUGGUUUAGUUGCAAUGGAGGUUGUCAUAGUUGGUCCUAGAUUUUCGAUGACCUGAACGAAUCAAUAAAUUUGUGACCUUUUAAUUAUUCGAAUGUUUUUGUUCUUGUAUUUUUGUUCUUGUAUGUUUGGUGUGACUCGCUAAAAACCGUCGAAAAUCGGCGACUAGGUCGGUUUGGUGAACCGGACCGGAUCAACAUAAAAAAAUCAAAAAAGCUGGAAAAAUUUCAUAGAACAGGCUGACGAAAAAGGAAAGAAGAUGUGAGAGAGAUUGAAACUAACUAACUCGCGGUUAACAUGUACAGAGAUGAAGAAAAUUUUAGAUCUCACAUAUGUUCUUUAUUUGAGAUCUAUUCGUUUGAAUGAAAGUAGAUUUUAGUUUAGAAAGAAUAAAAGAUGAGGGUAAGGGAAGAGAUGACACUGCAACAUCAAAACUAGGUUAUGUUUCCAGCUUCAGUUGGCAUUUGGCAUUAAGACCUAGUAAAAUUUCACUUCUUGGUCCGCAUUUAAGACCUAAUAAGUUCUAGUAUCUUUCUUAGGUGAUGUUAUCUUGUGCCUUUAGGGCUAAUGUUAAACAUUAAUUUCAUUCCAUUAAUUGUAAAAAUUUAAUAGAAAAAAAUUAGCACUAAAUAAUUUGAGUAAUAAAUUAACACAAUUUUCAAUACAUAAAUACUAUCUGUGGAAUUUUUAACAUGUGUCAGAAGGGCUGGCACAAGUUAACAUUUCCCAUCUUUCUUUUGUCGUAAAAGUUAACAUAACUAUUGGCAUUACUUUUCCAAAAAAAAAAAAAAAAACUAUUGGCAUUACUUCACCUUUUAAUAUUUUUAAAAGGACUUUCCUUUUUAAAUAUUAUAUAAUUUGUACAAUUAUAUUUUUUAUAUAUUUGUAUAGAUUUAUUUUUUGAUAAGUAUAUAUUUGUAAAGAUGUAAUGAGUUUUUUUUUAUAAUUUUUUAUAUCGACUAAGUUAUCUAAUUUAAUAUACAUACGAAUGUUUUAUAAACAUCGAGUUAUAUGACUGAGUCAUCUGGUUCAAUUCGAUUCAAUCAUGCGGUUCAAUUGAUGAUCUAGUGGUUCAAUCAAUGACUCAGUAACCUCGCCGAGUCAAUGACCGGUCUAAUUUUUAAAAUUAUGCUAUAGGGUUUCUUUCAAAAUUAAAAAUAAAGCCCAUAUUUCCUUUUAAAAAAAAUAAAAUUAAAGCCCAAAUUCAGUUAGGAUAGGUUUCACCGAAUUGAUUCAUUGAAUUAGGGAUAAGAAGACAAAACAGCUGAGUCUCACUCAAAGAGUUCGCAAAUUUCCCAGCUGUAUUAGCCGUAAUUGAUAAACUAAUCAACUUUUCUUUAAUGCUUCGAUUUAAUAAGGAAAUUAAAAGAGGCUUAGUAGUCAAAGUUUGAAAAAAUACAUAAGCAAAAAAAAAAUUUAAGUUCAUAAAAAAAAAAAAAAAAAAUUUAAGUUGUAAUAAGCAUUACUUGUUUAAUGGAAAUAUUAACGAAUGCUCCGGAGUACUCUUUAAGACCCAAAAGUAGUACUCCCUCUGUCACAUAAUAUAAUAAAAAAAAAAACUCGUUUUCUUUGUCCCAAAUUAUAAGAAAAAAAACAAUAUUUUAUCCUAUUUAAUCUUGUUUUUUUUAAAAAAUCUCUUUUCCAAAAAAAACUUGUUUAUUCUCAUAAAAUUAAAUGCAAAUUACAUUAAAUUUUCUUUCUCUUUCAUUUUUCCAUAAUCAAUAGCCAAUGAAAUUGUUUUUACAUCUUCCUAUAAAUUUUUUUCCAAAAACACACAAAAACUAUACUCCAAAUUCUUAUGUUUUAGUUUUUUUAAUAAGUGUGAUUUUUUUUUAUUUGCUUAUAAUUUGGGACAGAAUAUUUGACUUUUUUAAAAACUAUACUUUUAAAAAUGCAUGUAAUGAUUGCCUUAGAAAUCAAAAUAUUUAACUUUUUUAAAUAACAAUUGCUUAUUUUAGAAUGCUUAACGAGUGCCGAAAUAAUAGAGCUUGGCUAAAAAACUUGAGAUGGUACUUUAAAAAAAAAAAAUUUCAUAUUUCACAACUGUUAUGUAUUAUAAAAAUUAUAAAAUAUUAGAAGGGAGAAUUUCUUUUGUAAUAGUACAAUUGUUAAUUUGGAGAUUUUUUUUAUUUGACAAGACAAUAUAAAAUUACCUCAAAUUAAAAGGUAUGCUAACCUCCGUUAAACAUCCAAGUAUAAAUACGACAAAUAUCAUGCACAACACUUUGUAGGGUGUUUGAAACUGCUGAAAAGAUAAACCGUUGCAAAAUUAUUUAUAAUCUUGUAAAAUGGAUUAGUGGUUUUUUUUUAUUUGUUUUAUUUUUGCAGGUGGGUCGUGGUCCACCAUAGUCAAUGAAAAGCUCCGGAACGAUUCAUCAUUUAAUGAAACUCAUUAGUCACACUUGAUUAUAUUGACUCAUACUAUAGUAACGAAAAAAAUUCAAAUACUUUCAUUUUUUUUUUUAAUGACAAAUAUUAGUAUGCUAUUUUUUGAAUGAAUGAAAAUUAUUUUUUUAAUGGAGGGGGUUGACCAUUAUUAGCAAAGGCAUCAACAACAACAAAUUUCCUUCCAAAAAAUGAGAACAACAAGUCAACCUAAACUUCCUCCAAAAUAAGUCAACCUAAACUUAAACACCAAUUGGACCACCUAAUUUUAAGAAUCCAAAACACCGACAACUUUCCCUUAAAUUGCUACUUUCUACCUAUAAGUUUUUGCUAAGACUUUGAACCCUAAAAAUUGAAACUCUUUAACUCCUUUAAUUUCUUAAUUCAAUCCACUUGAGCAUCCGACCCCAACACUUUCAUUUUCUAAAAUGAUUAGUUCAAGAUUAUUACAUGAAAUAAGGAAUUUAAAUAAGGGAGUGUGAAAUAUUUUCUUCGGAAAUUGUGUGUUAAACAUACUUCCUCUCAAAAAAAAAAAAAAAAAACUUAUUUUUUUUUAGGGAUGUUAAACAUACUUAUUAAAAAUUGAUAAAUGAAAAUUAUUUUACUGAGAAUAUUGUAUUAGAAAUUUAAAACUUUUAAUUUUGUCUAAAAAUUCUUUUUUUUGUUUACUGUCUGUUUCAUAAGUAUUGUGAAAUUAAAAGACUCGUUAAAUUAAAACUUUAUUCAAUCUAAGUAUUGUUUGGUUGUAUUGUAUAUGACAAGGUUAAAGUUAAAUGAAGUUCAAAUAAAAUGAUUAUUUUCUUGUUAAAAAAAUGAUUAUUUUUCUCAAGUUAUUUAAAACUGAUGGGUUUUUGUAACAAAAAAAAAACAAAACACUGAUGGGUUUUUAAUUUAAUUAUCAGUAGACUUAGAUCGAAUGGACUAGAUUCAUUCAAUUUAGAUACCACGCUUUUCCCGUGUUGUGUGGCACUGUCCAAAACUUCGUCAUUCUAUAUAAAUAAUAAUUAGUUGACACAACUUGUCAGGAAAAAAAAUUAGUUGACACAAGUAAAGCAAUUAUAAAAAUAAGGGUGGAUUAGUCAAAAAAUAAAUAAAUAAGAGUGGAGAAUCAUACUCGUAUAUGAGGAAAAAAUAUGAAAUUUAUUUUGGUUUUUAAGAAAAUAUUAAGUUUUCCUUUCAAAAAAGAAAAUAUUAGGUUUUGUUGGAUACGUGUGAAUCAUUUUAAUGUCAUGUAAUUUUUUUCCUCAAAAAAAAUGUAAUGUAAUUUUUAUGUAUUUAACGAUACACACGUAAACCAUUUUUAAAUAAAUUUUAAUAUUAAUUUAAUUUUAUCGGUAAAGUAUCGAUACUCAACAAAUAAAUUAAGAGCUUGUGGAAGCGUAGGAAUUUAAAAUUGUGACAACAACAAAAUGAAACAUGUGUGCAGGUUGUGGAACGGGCUAGGCACCUCUUAGAAGAUUGGAGAACCGCCCAAGAAGUCAGAUCACAUAAAGCUAAUGACAAUCAUGCUCAACCGAAUAGUGUUAUUCACGGUCAUGUCAUUGAGUGGACAAAGCCGGUGUAUGGUAGGUACAAAUGUAAUAUUGAUGCCUCUUUUUCUGACUCUCUGAAUAUGGUAGGUAUUGGCAUAUGUAUCUGUGAUGAUCAGGGUAAGUUUGAUAUGGCAAAGACGGACUGUUUCUCUCCUCUUUGUGAUGUUGAUGUCGGCGAGGCUGUUGGACUCCACACGGCGCUACAAUGGGUGGCUGAUCUUCACUAUGACCAUGUUGAUUUUGUUUUGGAUUCCAAGUAUGUUGUUGAACGUUUUAAUUCAAACCUAGUUGAUAGUAGUGAACUAGGUUGUAUUAUUCAGGCUUGUAGGCAGUUGUUUGAUUGUAAUUUUCAGAACUCUCAUGUCGAGUUCAAUAGGAGGCAAGCUAAUGAGGUCGCUUAUGAAUUAGUUAGGGUAGCCCCAUCUCAUACUAGCUCCCACGUUUAUGAUGAUGUACCAUCAUGUAUCCGAGAUUUGAUGGUUAAUGAAAAGCAUUGAAUUUCUUUCCUCAAAAAAUAAAAAUAAAUAAUUGGGACACCAAAAUCUAAAUAUAGGGGUUCUUAUAGGAUUUGAAUCCUCUCAUGCUCAUUCUCUUAUGAUGUCCAUCAUACCUUGAUCUCAGCCAUUUACUAACUUUUUUUUCUCUCUUCUAUAUUAUUAUUCUUUCCUUCAUGUACUCCCUCCGUCUCAUAAUAAGUGAACCUUUUGUCAAAAAAUAAUGUCCUAAAAAAACUGACAUGUUUCACUUUUCAAUACAAUAUUGAUUACUUUUUUCUAAUUAUAACUCUAAUUAAUACUACUUUCAUCACUCUUAGUUCAAUAUAUAUUCCACUUUGCAUUUAUGUGAAGAAUGCAUCAAUACUUAACAAGAGCACUUAAAAUCAUUUCUCUCUCUUCUUCAUUUAUACAUUUUUUUUUUAAUAUGUAUGAAAUCAGCAAAUGACUCACUUAGGCUAUGUUUAGUUGAUCAAAGAAAGUAGAAGGAAAGAAAGUGAAAGGAAAGAUUGUGAAAGGAAGAAAUGAGAGUAGAAAGUGAGAUGAUUUUAUUAAUUGUUUGGUAUAGGAGAAAGAGAAAGGAAAAAAAGAUAACACAUUUAAAAUAAAAAAUGUUAGAUUUGGUAAAUUACAUAACUAUCCACAUAUUAAAAUGAUAUAUAUAUAUAUAUAUAUAUAUAUAUAUAUAUAUUAUACCACAAAAAAUGUACCAAAGAAAAAAUAAUGCCAAAAAUAAGAACAUAGGAAGAGUAAGAAAAAGUUAUUAAAAUCUGACACACAAAAACGACACUCAUUUAAAAAUAAACGCUGAAAAUUAAAAAAAACAAUGAAAAUUAUAAAAGUAAUAAAAUAAGGGUAUUUGUGACUUUUCAUGUUAUAAAUGGGUUACUUGUCCACUUUCUGUCCAACCCAGCGCGGAAACAUUUUAUGUGUGGGCUCCAUCAAAGAUGUUUCUUUCCUAUGCCUUUCUUUGGUGUUCCAAACUAUAGAAACCUCUUCUUUCCACUUUCUUUUUCUCCACUCACAAUCUUUCCUCACUCUAUCAAUUGAAACAAACAAACCCUUAAUCCGGGACGGAAGGAGUAUUAAUCAACUGUUGGAUUGGAAAAGGAGAUUAACCAAUGUUCUUCAAUGCCACUUCCCCAAAAGGGCAAGCUUAACCAACCUUGGAUCUCUAAUACCAAACCAUCCUUCACUCUUAGGCUUACGGAUAUAUAACCAUCGGACCCAUGGAAUUUUUCUCUCCCCCUUCCCCCCACAAAUAGCGAUGCUGAAUCCUCACAAUGUGACUCCAAACACCAUUUGGCAUUUUCAGAAAGGAGAGGAAAAAGAUUGGAAUAGAGUUAAGUACCGAGUUUAGAAUCACUCUCCCUCCCAAACCAACUAACCUAUUAAUCCACAAGCUCAGACAAGUUAGCAACGUAUCCAACAAAGGCUGCCAAGUAGAGAGUUUCCUAGAAUUAGCCCCAACCGGAAGAGUCAUAUACUUAAAAGAAAUGAACUAGUACUAUAGUGGAGAAAAUUUGCAGCCAGACCUAAGAAAGAUGCAUCAACAUUAAUUCCCAUAAUACAACUAUUAGCGAAAUUAACACGAAGACCCUGAGGCAAGUUCAAAACACCUUAAGAUAGUGUUUUGGCCCAAAGGUUCUCCAUUGCUGUCUUUCCUAUAAAAAAAAAAGUAUCAUCAACAUAUUGAAGAUGUGUUACAGACAACCCGAAUCUACUAACUUUAAAACUUGUACAUAUACCCAACGCCUCUGCCUUCUUUACAUACAUACUUAACGCCUCUGCAACUGGAAGAAAAAAGAAAGGUGUUAGAGGAUCUCCUUGCUUAAGUCUUUGUUGACUAGUGAAAAGAUAUCAUGUUUACUAAAUUUAAGGGCAAUUUGGCCCUUCAUGAUUGUUAUCGUUUUGUGACCAAUGAAUUCUAAAACAUCGUAAAGAUCCCCACAUUAUACAAAAAGCACUCCACAACUCAAAUGACUAAGACAACGGAUUUUCAUCCAAAAUUUAAAAGCAUAAAGGGUCCGUUUGUUACAAAUUAAAAAAAAAGUGAUUUUCACAUAAAAUAAUUUAGAGAUUAUAUUUUAUAGAUUUUGUGAAAAAUCAGAAUCUAUUUUGCGUUUGUUUACCGUAAUAAAAAUCACCUUUUUUAAACAAAUAAUCUUGUUUGUUUUGAUACAACUAUAUAAAAGAAAUUUUUUGUUACAAAAUUAGUUCAAUCUUUUAAAUCAUAUUUUCUCUCUCCUCUAAAAAAAAAUCUAUUUUUUGAGAAGCUGCUCUUAACAGCUUCUCAUUUGAAGCUGUUUUUAGAUUCUAUUUUUUUUUUUUUUUUUUUUAAAUCUGUAACAAACGGAUGCAAAGCUCUUAAAAGUUAUUAUUUUCUGAAGAAAAAAAAAAGAUUUUUUUUCUUAAAAAAGCUAUAACAAACGGGCUCUAAACAUUAAAGAAUUUAGGAUCAAUUUACUCUAGGAGUAAAGUUUUGUAAGAGCUAUUCCACUUAAUAAGUUAUUAUACAUUUUUCACAAAGAAAUUUAUUGAAAAAAAUGUCUUACCGAUUAUGAUGUUAAUACCUUUUUUUUGUAAACAUAUAUACUUAAAUAUGAUCACAAUAGAAUAUAGUAAUUAGAUAUCUAUUAAAAAAUAUCGUAAACCAAAAUACAUAAUAACUAAAUUCUUAGUGAAUUUUUUUUUUUCAUUCAAAAGACAGUUCUGUAGUUUUUAACAAAUUUUUUAUUCAAUACGUAAUAAAUAUUAAUUAGGAUUGACCUCGUAAAAUAUCCUGCACAAAAAGACUAAAUAAUUGGAUAAGAAUACUAAGAAGGUGCAAACAUAUAAGUCUCAAUCUUCUUUAUUAAAAUCUAAAACCACAGCUGCCGCAGAAAGCAAUGCAGCAGCAUGCAUGGAUAAGAACAAAACAAUAAAGUCCAAUGUGCAAGUUGAGUUUCAUAUGUAUCCAAAUCCAAUGUCCCAUUAACAUCAGAAUUCAGAAGUUAGACUAAGAUUAAACUUAUAUAAAUACGAAAAAUUAUUUUCUGUAAAUAAUUGUAAUUUCUAUCAAUAUUUUUAUUUUCAUUAUGUGAUCUUUAUGUGUUAGUUCAUGUGAGGGAAAAGAGGAAAAUAUAUACCACUACAUGUUGACUCGAGUCAUGUACUUUACGUACUCAAUACUCAUAAUUUUCUCCUGUCCUUUUUUUUUUGUUGAAGAACCCCUGUCCUUCUUUUGUGUAAAAAAAAAAACAAAUAAAUAAUAAUGUUAUAAAUUAAUUUAAAUUAGUAAUAUAAUAAACUUAAGUUUUAUUUCAAAAAAAUACUUGUAGUAAUUUUUUUCUAAAUGGAAAAAGGGACUAAGCAAGCCCAAACAACACAAAGGAGAACAAAGAAAGUAAAACGAACAAAAACUAUAAGUCUCAUAGAAUGACAACAAAACUCCUACAAGGAAAAAUGGCAAAGGAGGCAAAAUCAAUAAGAUAUUUGAAGGUUUUAUACGGAACUAACACCGUCAACCAUAUUUUAGCGAAAGAGAAAUGAUAUUUGUAAAAAUAAUUUGCGACAACUUUUUCUCUUAUAUUCACAUUAUAUUUUUUUUUUUUUUUUUCUAUUGCUUUGGUUUCUAUGUCAAUAUCUACUUUUCUUUAUACUUUUAUGGUUGUCCCAAAAGUUGUCAAUCAGAUGAUUGUUGAAAUAACACACCUCUUAGCAAAAUCAUAAGCUGCUUUAUUUUGUUUUUGGCUGAAUCAAGAGAAGGACAUGCAUAGGGAGAACCUCAUACAUCUCAUGUAGGUUGACACCCCUAAAAACCCUAUCCUUUGCCACCAACCACAUAAAAUAAAUAUUAUUAAACAAAGAUAGAAAAAGUAUAUGGGAGGGGGGGAGGGGGAAGCCUGACCCUCAAAGGAAAAAUACGGUAGAAGAACAAACUAAGGAAAACGAUACAUGGGCAAACCACAACAAUUCUAAAAAUAGUCCCUCCCUAAUGAAAUCAGGUAAAACAGUCAACCACAAAGAGCCCUGAAUAGAAUGCCCAUGGUUGGCAAGCAUGUAUGCACACUCAUUGCCCACUCGAAAGGUAUGCUAAGAGUUGACCUGAAUGCCAGAGUGAAGACAAUUAUGCCAUCUGUCCCGAAGCCGAAUAGGAACAACAAUAGACGCUUUGAUGAACCUAUAAAGCUUUGACUCAAAAACCGAAACAGCUCUCAGGUUACUAGUAAAACUUCCCAAUAAAGUGUCGCAGCUGUCCCUGAAGAUUCCACCACACGCCGCAUGAAAGACAAUUAUUAAGCCAUUCAUAUUCAUUUUACCCAGGGUGUCGUAGGAGGCUUCCAAACCGCAACAACUAUCUCCUUAAAUCGACGAUAAUGAGGUGGGAUCAAGAAGGUGUCAAGAAUCAAAAAAUCAGAAUGAAGACAAUCGCUAGUUGAAUUAUGACCACUCAAAGUAAUUGAAUAUGAAAUUUUUACCUUAGCCGCAUACAACGACAUCUUAUCAGAAGAAAACAAAUUGUGCAAAGUAUGAAUAAUAGAAGUAGUAAGGAUAACUUCAAGAGACUUCUAUUGCUCAAGCACACAGGCAAGAGACUUCCAAUGCUCAAGGAAAACCCUAAGAAACUUCUGUUGAUCAAUCACGACUAAUGAGACUUUUGGUGCUCAAGGUUUCACCUGUUAUGCAUGCUUGAAUGAUUGGAGUGAUAAUAUGUAUGAUAUAUAAGUUGUGGUGAGGUAACAUCAAACUAAAUAAAAUCCUUCAAAAUAGUAUAUUAAGUUUAAUGUUUUCCAAAAGGAUAACACCCUUCUAGACCAAUAUCAAAUGUGUCUGUUUGCCUCCGUGAAGCACACGUUCUAUACUAGUAAGUUGCGGUGUGGUAAUUUCAUUUACCAGAUUGUUAUUCUUUUGGGUAAUUUCAUAUAUAUGCUAAUAAAGUGGGGGGAAAAUGGAUGUACAUGUUUUACAAUUUUUUUUGACUUAUUAGCCUUUUAAAAAAUAUAUAUUUAUUAGCCUUUAUAAAUACGUCAAAUGUUAUAUUUAAAAUUGUUAGUACAAAUUAGGCUUUUAGACAGGCUAAUAGGACAGGCCGGGGUUUUAUAAAGGCCAGGUCAAGCUUAAAAUAAAGCCUUUGAAAGGCUAAUAGGCCAGACUUAAGCUUAAGUUUUUUCAACUAGAAUACUAUGUAUGAAGAUCUAGUGAAAGGUCAACCAGAAGUUAACAUCCUAGUGGACAGGUGUCUCACAGAAGCUGGGGAAUCCACAGAUUCUGUGAAGGACAUCAACACAAAAGCUGACUAGGCUACGUCGUUCUAAGGGACCCAGAAUCGGCGUAAGGUUUUGUCUUAUUAUGUGAGUUGUGUCUAUCACUACAUCUGGCAGAGCGGCUAUUUUGUAUUCUCAUGUCUACUUGUAAAGGAAAUCAUGAAUGAGAACGAAUAAUUCCCCUUUCAACAAAGGAAAUUCAAAGUAAUUUCCAACGGGAUUGAAGCUUCUCAACGACUCUAUUUGCGUUGGGACUCUUCUCUAACAUCUCUCAAAUCACUGUCUGUAUAAGGAGCUAAAGACCCGAAGAAGAAGUAAUAAGACUCUGCUAUUCAAUUGUGCCAUUACUUUGUCAAAUUUAAUAGCGCAAAAUCAAUUAGGAUUAAUUUUCAAGUUUAUUCUUAGAAAUCCUAGGGAGUUUGUUAAUUUGUUCAGUUUACGCUUACUAGCUAGAAAAAAUGUAAGAAAAAAUUAACGUUAUUCCAGUUGGGGCAAACACUUUAAAAAAUCUCUCGUAUGCGUGCUUGAGCAUAUAAGUCUCUUGGUGAAACAUUGAGCACUUAGGAGUCACAAUCAAGGGCUAUUGAGCAAAGGGAAGUAUCAAGCAGUUGUGAUUAAGCAAUGAGAAGUCUUUAGGUAGAGUCCUAGAGCAUAAGUCUUUAGGUAGAGAGUCCUAGAGCAUAAAAGUCUCUUGCAGUUGUUCUUGAUCAAAUAGAAGUCUCUUAAAGUUGUGCUUGAGCAUAGGGAAGUCUCUUAGAAGUGUCCUUGAGCAAUUUGUAAUCAUAUGUGAUUAUAAUUAAAUCCCUUGGAAGCGCAAGGGGACUGGACUACUCCUGCAUUGUAGGAGGAACCGGUAUAAAAUUGUUGUGUCUGCUUUAUUUAUCUCUAUCUCUUUAUCUUUUUGUUUUGUAUCUAUCUGCUGCACACAGACUCUGAAUCAAAAUCUGUAUAUCUUAGAUUUUUUUCAGGCUGUUUAACCUAGGAAAAAGAAACCCAUGAAAAAUCUUACUCAAUUCGACCCCCUUCUUGUGUAUUUUUCUCACCUUCAACCUUGUCCUCCACAACUCCAUAUGGAUGUUUAAUUGACCUAUCUGCAAGUGUUAUAUAUAGUGGUGUUUGAUAGCUUCAUCUGAACACUUCCAACCUUCUUUAGCAUCGUUAAUGACAUCAAUUUGAUGCUUGUACCUAGAUCACACAUACCUCUUUUGAUGGAUAACUUCCAAAUGGAUCAGUUAAAACAUUCCGACUCAUUCUUUUUUGGAGGUAGAUUCUUUUUCCUUUAACUUCUUCUUCAAAUAGAGGUAUGGUAUUCUUGCUUCCUUGCAGGAUCUUCUAUCUCUCUUUCCCUAUUAUGGAAUCUUUGUCAAUGCAUGUUUUAGACAUUCUGGCAUGCGCCUUUUCUCCUGGAUUUAUGUCUACUGAAACUUUCCUCUUUUGUGGAAGCUUCUUUUGGAGAACUAACUGGCGACCGAUAGUUUUUCCUCUUUCGAACACAUGAUAAGACUUCUUUUCUUUCAUUCCCUUAUAAAUUAAUUAUCUUGUUUCCACAUUGAUCAUGGGUUUAGCGGUUGCAAGAAAAGAUCUUUCAAGGAUAGGUGGACAUUUUCGAUCUUCUUGCAUAUCCAAGAUUACAAAAUCUGUCAAAAAGAUAACUUAGUUUACUUUUACCAUCAAGAAUUCUACUAUGCCAUAAGGAAAUUUGAUUGUACCAUCUGCCAAGGUGAGAUUUAUGUUUGGUGGUUUCAUCUUCACCUUUUUUCAGUUUUUUGAAAAUUGAUUACGACAUCAGGUUUACACUUUCUCUGAGAUCACAUAAAUCAUAUUUGAUUUUUAUGUCCUUAAUUCAACAAGGAAUGGUGAAAUUACCAGGGUCAUUCAUUUUCUUUGGCAGCAACAAUUGAACUACAAGUUUCAGCUAACAUAAUUACCUUUUAAAUUGAGCUUUUAUCUAGCAUUUCUAGGUGAGGUGUGAAAAUUUUGAACAAUUGUUCUACCAUUUCUUCUAGUUCAUCCAUGUCUUCUUCUUCUUAAUUUGGGUUUCCCCAAGGUGUAGGAUAUGGUGUAUCCCAUCCUUGUUCGUAAGGAUUAUUGAACUGAUUGAAAUGGUUAACAAAUGGUUUCCUUGUGUAAUUUAUCUGCAUGAGUUGUUAGCACAAACUAGAGGUAACACAAAUUUGUGUUUCAUAUGAAUUAGAGAUUUUUUUGUUUGUUUAGGGUAUUAAAAAAAUUGACUAAAAUUUAAACAAAAUAAUCUAAACUAGAUACUACCCUAGAAUAAAACAGACUAAAUUUUUUUGGUAUUUUUGGAAUAAGAUAAAAACAAACUAAAUCUAUUCUAACCUAAAAACAAGGGGAAAAAACUAACAUAAUCCAUAAAUAUUUAAAAUUAAUCCUAAUCUAAAAAGAUAUACCUAGCUAUUAAAUAGGAGUUAGCCUUAAUUUGUAGGAUCUACCUAGCUAUUAAAUAGGAGUUAGCCUUAAUUUGUAGGAUCUAACCCUAAAACUAAAACAGAAAAAUAAUCUAACCAUAAUAACAAAAUAAAAUCGAAAAUAAAAAUAACAAAAGUGAAAAUAAUAAAAACUGAAAAAUGAAAAGCAGAAAAUAAAUUUACCUAACCUAACCUAAUUACUCACAAAAAUAAAUUCUACCGAUUACCUUGUCGUAAUAUCAACAAUCCCCGACAAUGACGCCAAAAACAUGAUGGAAAAUUUAGGAAAGUAUACAAAAUCAUACCAAGUAAUAAAGUAGUAAGUUAAUCGUUUCCACAGGGAUUGUCAUUCAAAUCAGUAAGUAGAAGAGCCUAUUUAGAAAUGCAAAUAAAAGAGAAGAUUUAAAGUUGAUGCAGGGUUUAAAUUGUCCUGCCCAAUGCAAGAUUAGGUUUGGUUGAUUCAGAAGAUUAACAACGAUUAGGGAAUCCUUGAAUCCCAUCUUCAUCUUUGUUGGAAAUUAAAUUUUGAAAUCAUUCGUUUAUAACUUGUCUUAUGUUGGAUUUAAGAAAGUAGAACAUAACCUUGUCAUGAAUCAGUUGAAGUUUAUUUUAAUCCUUGCAAUUCAACUAUUCAAAUUGUGAAGUUCCAUUAAGAUUAGUUAUAGCCCUAAAUUCAUACUUAGAUUCUAUUAUAUUAGAAAUUAAACAAUUCGCUACUUCCUUGUUCAAAUGGAGACGAGGGUUGUCAAUCCUAAUAUUAAUGCAUCUAAGAUAUCGUAUAGAAACGGACAUAUACAAAUUAUGGUGUGAUUUACAUAGGUUUGUCUUGGUGAGAAAGUAAGAAAAUAGCCGUUAGGAACUAUCCAUUUUUUCCUUUAGUGCCUUACCUUGAUGACAAAGUAACUCUUGAAACUAGUGUUUAUUCCUUGUACUUUGCUUUGCUGCUUCUGAUAUGUGAUUCUGGUCUUUUGUUGCACAUUUUAGGUUGGUUUCUUCCAUUAAUUCAGUUGGUGUUUUCUAAAUGUCUGUUUCUUAUGUCGUUCUAAUAUGCUUUUAAUCUUGAAAUUGUGAUCUACCUUAUUUGCAACCUAAAGUAUAGUUUAUUUAUUUCCCUUUCUUCAUAAAGCUUCAUCUUGACUUAUGAAAUGAGAAUCAAUGUUGAACACCAAUUUUAAACUUUCUAUAUAGCUAUUAUGAGGUGCUUCUGAACUGCAAUUAUGUUCGUACGAUGUGCAUUCUAAAGUGCUUCUGGUAUCUAUUUUGAAUUUCAUUUUUAUUGAAUAAUUAUGUUCCUCCGAAUGACAUGGAUCAAAAUUUGAUAUCAUAUUCCCUUCAUCAGUCUGGCUCUUCAAUUUUGUAGUGCCCAUGAGAUGCUUCUAAUCUUAUUAUGAAGUUUUCUAAUCAUUUUGAAGUCUUUCUUAGCAUUUGGUAUUAUUGAGAUUCAUGUUUAAUUUGAUAUCUACGCAUUUGUAAUAUCUUUUUCUAACAAACACUUGAAGAAACUUUUUAGAGAACAACACAUAUCAGAAUCACUCUGAUCUCAUUACUUUAACGAAGUUUGUUAUCUUUAAACAUCAACUUAAGAAGUAUUUUGUGAUAUUUUGUGUGAUGUCUUAGUGGAGAGCUGAUUGUAUCCGAAUCAUUUAAUUUAUAGAUCAUGCAUAAUAUUGUAUAAAAAAAUUGGGACAAAAAAAAUGAUGAUUAUGAUGUUUUUCUUUCUUUUUCGACUUUUAUAUCUUCAAGAUUUAUUUUAUAACAUUGUGCGUAUGUUGAUUUUAUUUGUAUUGUUUUGGUUAAUGGAAGUUGACAUGUUACACCGAUAUUUUAGAUACCAAAGAAGAAUUUCAAGAUUGAUGUUGUUUGGCAAGGUCUAUGGGGAAAAUAAAGUUUUGCAAAUAAAAAAUCAUUUAUAAUAAAAUCAAUCGUGCUAUUUAUUUUAUGGAGAAUGCUAACCAUUGUCCUUAGGGCAUUGGAUAAGGGGUAAAAAUAGAAAUAUAGCAUUGGAAAAUGGUGAAAAGUGAUAAAUUUAACUUUUUAAAAGUCAAAAUGUUGUUGAAACCAAUGCAAACAUGCUACUUUUAGCUUCCUUAACCAUUACCCACAGAGCAAUAUGGUUAGCAAGACCCUUAUUUUAUUUCUAUUAGUUAACUUCGGAUGUUGUUUACAUGUGAGG
This 56290-nucleotide long non-coding RNA is filed under the name Medicago truncatula (barrel medic). Its description in RNAcentral is "long non-coding RNA (MTRU_LNC000284)". The stretch from base 17022 to 17112 matches the Rfam family "MIR5298 microRNA precursor family". The record is from RNAcentral. Lineage: Eukaryota; Viridiplantae; Streptophyta; Magnoliopsida; Fabales; Fabaceae.